UCUCAAGUGCUUUGGUUAGAUUCUGUUUGAUUUUGUUUUCCCUUUGAACCUACGUCUUGGGAUCUCCAGUCAUGAUAGGUAGGGUUGCAAUCAAGCAUCCUCAUUCGUUAUAGGCUUUAAACCCAUUCAUUUUGAUGAUUUAGCAACAACAUCUCGUGACAAACCUUUAGUAAAUGGAUCCGCUAGGUUGUCAGCCGAUUUGAUGUACUCUAUUGUAAUUACACCAGUUGAGAUAAGUUGUCUAAUGGUUUUAUGUCGUCUUCUGAUGUGACGAGAUUUACCAUUGUAGAGAUUAUUCUCAGCCCGAGCUAUAGCUGAUUGACUAUCACAAUGUAUGCGUAUAGCUGGCACAGGCUUCUCCCACAUAGGAAUAUCUUCCAAAAAAUUUCUAAGCCAUUCAGCUUCUUCCAUCGUCGAUCUGGCUAACACUGUUUGUUUGGUAGAUUUCCAUGAUAUUGCUGCUCCCCCUAGUGUAAAUACAUAUCCACUUGUGGAUUUUGAGUUUUUAGAAUCUGAUAUCCAGUUAGCAUCACUGUAUCCUUCUAAAACUGCUGGUUCUUUACCAUAGUGGAACCCAAAAUCUUUGGUGUAACGUAAGUAAUUGAGUACCCUCGUUAUAGCUUUCCAGUGUGUAUGACCUGGAUUACUUGUAUAUCGACUAAGUACGUUUACUGCAUGCGCUAGAUCUGGUCUAGUACAAUUUGUCAAGUACAUGAGACUUCUGAUCACACGUGCAUACUCGUUUUGUGAAACCGCUUCACCUGAAUUCUUUGUCAAGUGCAUUUGGGGAUCUAACGGAGUUUUUGCCGUAUUAUUAGAGUAAUUUUUAAAUCUCUCUAAUAUUGUUUGAGCAUAAUGAGAUUGGGUUAAGAUAAUUCCGUUUGAAUUUCUUGUGACUUUAACCCCGAGAAUUACAUCUACUAAUCCCAAGUCUUUCAUCUCAAAUGUCCCUUUGAGCAUGUUCUUUGUUUGAUUGAUAAUGUCUUUAUUGCUUCCAAUAAUGAGCAUAUCAUCUACAUAUAGACAUAGCAAAACAUACGCAUUUUUGGUAGUUUUGUAGUAUAUGCAUUUGUCACAUUCAUUUAUUUUGAACCAUUUGACAUCAUUGUAUUGUCAAAUUUUUCGUGCCAUUGUUUAGGAGCUUGUUUAAGCCCAUAAAGUGACUUUACAAGUCGACAUACUUUGUCUUCUUGUCCGGGAAUGACAAAACCUUCAGGUUAUUUCAUGUAAAUUUCCUCUUCUAAAUCACCAUUUAGAAAAGCAGUUUUUACAUCCAUUUGAUGGAUUUCUAGGUCUCUCAAGGCUGCGAUUGCUAUCAUCAGUCUUAUUGAUGUUAUUCUCGUCAUUGGAGAGUAUGUAUCAAAAUAGUCAAGGCCUUCCUUUUGUCGGAAUCCUUGAACUACAAGCCUAGACUUGUAUUUUCCACCAGGUUUGCGUGUCAUUAUCCAUUUAUUUCCUAAUGCUUUGCAGCCAGGUGGUAAAUCCGUUAUGUAAUACGUAUAAUUUUGCAUAAUCGAAUCUAAUUCACUCCUGACAGCUUCGUUCCAAAAAGGAGCUUUUGGUGAAGCCAUGGCUUCUGCCAAAGUUUUUGGAGCAUUUUCUACUAAAAAUGCCAUUAGGAAAUCUUCUCCAAAAGAUUUUUCCUUUCGAGCUCUUUUGCUUCUUCGAGGUUCAUCUUUUCCUUCAUUUUCUGAAAUAUCAUUUAUAGAAAUCUCGACGUUUGUCUCAGUUUCUGAGUUCUUGUCGUUGUCUCUUUCUUCUCGAGUUCGUUUUGAAUCUUGUUUUUCCUUAUAUGGAAAAAUAUUUUCGAAGAAAGAUGCAUUUCUUGAUUCCAUGACUGUAUUUUCAUGAAUGUCUGAUAUUUCAGAUUUAUGUACCAGAAAACGAUAAGCAUUACUGUUAUGUGCAUAUCCGAUGAAGAUGCAAUCCACUGUUUUAGGUCCAAUAGUGACCUUCUUUGGUGGCGGUACCGCAACUUUUGCCAGGCACCUCCACACUUUGAGGUAUUUAUACGAAGGUAACUUUCCUUUCCAUAAUUCAUAUGGAGUUUUGCCAGUUACUUUGUGUGGAAUCUUGUUGAGGAUAUAAUUAAUGGUAAGCAACGCUUCCCCCCACAUGUUCUGGGGUAACCCAGAUUCCUGCAACAUAGCAUUCAUCAUCUCUUUUAGAGUUCGAUUUUUGCGUUCAGCAACUCCAUUAGAUUCUGGUGAGUAAGGAGCUGUAGUUUGAUGGAUUAUUCCAUGUUCUUUACAGAAUGCAUUGAACGGACCAUCAUACUCGCCUCUUCUGUCGCUUCUAACUACUUUAAUAGUUGUUUUAAGCUGAUUCUCGACCUCGAGUUUAAAUUCUUUAAAUUUUUCCAAGGUUUCAUCUUUGCUAUGUAAUAAAUAAACAUAACAAUAUUUUGUGCAGUCAUCUAUGAAGGUCACAAAGUACUUUUUACCACCUCUAGUUUGUAAGUAUUUUAAAUCACAUAAAUCAGUGUGAAUUAAAUCUAGAGGUUUAUUAGUUCUUUCAACACGAGGUGAUGGCGUUUUUGUGAGCUUUGCCUGUACGCAUACUUCACAUUUUUGUUUACUUGUUUUGCAUUUAGGAAUUAGAUUUAAAUUCAUUAAUAUUUGUAUAGACUUGUAGUUUACAUGGCCUAAUCUUUCAUGCCAUAUAUUAAAAGACUCAACCAAAUAAGCAACUGGCUCAUUCUUAUUCAUUGAAACUUUUGGAGCUACAACUUUUGGAGUGACUGUCAUUACAUUCAACUUGACAAGUCCACCCUUAACAUAUCCCCUUCCCAAAUACAUCCCAUUCUUCCUAAUCACGAGCUUAUCCGCCUCAAAACUUGUGGCGAAACCAUUCUUGCUGAGCAAGGUUCCCGAGACUAGGUUCUUCCUCAUGUCAGGCACAUGCUUCACAUUUGUCAGAGUGACCUCACGUCCAAAUGUCAUCUUCAAGAUCACAUUGCCGCGUCCUUCAAUCUUGGAGACUGUAGUGUUUCCCAUCUUGAGCUUCUCCUUAGUCUUGCUUUUCUGAUAGGUGCUGAACAUCGCCCUAUCGGUGCAAAUGUGGGUGGUUGCACCAGUGUCAUACCACCAUUCCUUGAGGUUGUUGCUUUCAACCAUAUUUGCUUCAGUCACCACAGCAACGAGAUCCUCCUCAGUGAGAUUUGCCUGAGCCUUCUCAUCUUUGAUCUUUUUGCGACACUCAACAGUUUUGUGCCCCACUUUGUGGCAGUAGUGACAUUUCCCCUUGAACUUCUCCACAUUCGCAUUGAUCUCAAUACCUUUGUUCUUGAAGUUUUUUUCAGAAGCCUUCAAGGCUGCAGCAGUUUUGGAAGGCUUGGCAGGAGAAUAGGCGUGGGCCUUUCCUUUGCCUUUGUGCUCAGCCAUGUUGACACUGUGCUCCUUUGUACCGACCUUUGCAGCAGUUCGGUUUCUGGAUUCCAUCUGAAGCCUCGUGAUGAGCUCCUCGAGCCCCAUCUUCUUCUUCUUGUGCUUCAAGUAGUUCUUGAAAUCCCCAUAGCUUGGAGGAAGCUUUUCAAUGAAGCUGAGAGUUGUGAAUGUCUCGCAGAUGGACAUUCCUUCAGCAGCGAUUUCAUGGCAAAUGAGCUGAAGCGCUUCCACCUGAUCCAUGAUGGGUUUUGAAUCCACCAUUUUGAAGUCGUGGAAUUUUGAGACUACAUACUUCUGGCAGCCAGCGUCCUCACCUCUGUACUUCUUGUCUAGUGAUCUCCAUAACUCUUUCGCCGUGGGGAUCUCACAAUAGACACGGUACAAUGGGUCAAUGAGGCGACCCAAAAUGUAGCCUUUGCAGAUGAAGUCGGAAUGCACCCAUAUGUCAACAGUUGCGAGGCUGUGAACAUCAUCAAUCCCGUAAGGCAUAAGGGGCUUGUCCUCCUGGAGGAACUUCUCCAGCUUCAUCGUUGCCAGGAAGAACAACAUCUUCUUCUGCCACGUUUUGAAGCCUUUGCCAUCAAAUUGGUUUGGCAUCAGUCCUUGAGUGAACACACUAGGGACAGCCGGAGGAGUUUGAACUGCCACCGGACCACUUACAGUUGCUAAAAUUGAACCCGUCUGAUAAAGACCAGCACCGAAUAGGAUACGGCGAGUGGUUUCAUCAGCAGCAUUCCCUGCAGAGAGGAAAGUGCUCGUUGUUGCUGCAGUGGUUGACGCUGUGAUGUUUCCAGCGGUUGUCACGCCAGUUGCUGCAGCGUUGAGUGGAGUCUGAAUGACAUCCAAGGUGUCCAUGGGAGUGGGGGUGUCGUUCUCGUUUGUCAUUUUCCUGUAGAGAAAACAUGAAAACGGAUUAGUACUCCAUUCAACAAUUACAUAUUAUUUUAAUGAAAAUAAUAGUCUAAAAUCGAUGUUCUUUUUUGGUGUUUGAACCAAAUCAUAUCGAUAUAAGUUUUGAAAAAACGUUUUGCAAACUCGCUUAAAAGCGUUCGCAGAAACCAUUUUUAUAGACUUAGAAUGUUUCACAAACUCGCUUAAGAAAGCGAUCUUGAAACAAUUCAUUUAUAGAACGUUUCGCUAUACUGCUAGAAAACAAUCCGCAAAGCGUUAUUAAUAAAUAAGAAACGUUUCGCGGAAGGGCUAUAAAGCAAAUCGCAAACUCGUUUUCACCAAAAUAAGAAACGUUUCGCGGAUAAGCAUAUAGCAAAUCGCAAACAACGUUUGAUUGAACCCCGAAAGGUUUUUACGAAUCGUAUAUCAAAAAACGUUUUCCGGUAGUGCUACAGAGCAAAACGCAAACCGUUUAUGAGAUAAAUAACAAAACGUUUCGCGGAAGUGCUAGAAAGCAAAUCGCAAACAGCGUUCCAAAACCCGUAUUUAUAAAUCGUUUUUCAACCCGAUUCGAGCUUUAAACGUAAAGCGAUUAAGAGUUAAGAUUGUAAAAGCCGGAAAACCGGAUCAAAAGAAACGAUAUAAUAUAAACGACGUUAAGGAAAAUAUACAGACGAUUCAAAACCGUAACGGAAAUGAAACCAUGGAGUCAAGACGAAUCUCUUUCCUUAACUCUUAAUAUUCGCUCCGUUAGUGCGACGGAUCUGUACGAAUAGGAGUCCCAGGAUAAAACCAUGAUAGGUUAUCACGCAGCCCUCGUGAAGAACCUCUAACGAACUAAUAUUUCUAUGAAACACUCUCUAGACUUACGCUAUAGGAUUUGCUGGUUUUUGUUGUGAAAAAACGUCAAAAGAAAUGAAGGAGGAGACGAGUUUAUAAAGAAGAGAAGACGAGCCACUUUCCGUAACUGAUGCCGCACGUGCGCACGUUGGCGGAAAUCUCGCGAGGAUCUCGGAGGUGAGGCGUUACGAAACUUCCUCCGCAAGAUCAUCUUUUCUCGUUUAUACUUAUCGUCAAGAAGAGAGACAACGUGUUGUUUUUAAACGAACUACGUAUUGUUUAAAAUAAAAUGCAUGUCGUUUUUUCGGGAAUUAAAUGACAAAGCGUUGAGCUUAACUUGGUCCAAAAAGAAUAGUUCUUAUCAGGCCUUUGGUCCGACACCCACGCCCACGCCGAGCCGGCCAGACGGCGGCGCGCGCGUGGAGAGCUCUCUCUUCCUCUGAGCCGUUUAACACAUGGUAUGUGUGAGUGCAUAUAUAUACAGCUCGACUCUUCUCUUCCUCCCCGAUAUAGGACUUUGUAAGUUUCAUUUCAUUAACCACACAUAAGUGGGCUAUUAGGCACACAAGCCCAAUCAUUUGUUAUUCACAUAUUUUAAUUAAACCCAAUUGGUUUAAUUGAUCCAACAUUAACUACACUUCAAAGGCAGCCAAAGUUUCUUCCCUCACAGAACAGCCUUCAUAAGUGGGCUAUUAGGCACACAAGCCCAAUCAUUUGUUAUUCACAUAUUUUAAUUAAACCCAAUUGGUUUAAUUGAUCCAACAUUAACUACACUUCAAAGGCAGCCAAAGUUUCUUCCCUCACAGAACAGCCUUCUUAAUAUUUCUAUAUAAACACUAAAUAAACUAACCAUCACUGCCCUGCCCUGAGAAGCUAUCUUUUAAAAAUCAUUGGGUGAAAAGAAACAUUUCACAACUAUUGUAGGAACUGGAACCAAACAUGGCCAAGUCUCACCAUGACACCAUCUUUGGUUUUUUAUCACAUCGUUGUUUAUUCCUUAUCUAAUGCACUUAUAUAUUUAGACGCGUAUUAGAAUCUACGUCCAUGGUUAUCUCCUCGACUGUUCAGACCAUUUUGCAUGGAUUGUCAUGUGGUGAAAAGAGUGAAGACUUAAAUUGGAUGAUUUAUUAUGCUUGCAUGGAUGCUUUAUUAUGCAUAUAUAAACUGGAUUUGUGAACUGUGCAAAGCAAAAUGGCAAAUAAUUCAAGCAGAGAGACAUGGGGAGAAUCUAAACCACACUUUCAUGACAGUAUCAGAAACCUUUGCUUCUCACUUCUUUUGCUGAGCCUUGAGUUCUUUUACCCUCUCUUCCGUUGCUUUCAAUGCUUUCCCGUAGAUAUCAAUUAACUGCAAAAAUGAAUAAGAGCCACCAAAUUAGGGGAAAAGGGGAAAAAAAAAGAUUUAACAGAUUAAUGAUGUCUCAAGAAUUGUAACCUAUAUAUACCUCAUCGAUCUCUUCAGGUGAGAUAAUGAGCGGUGGAGACAUCAUUAUGCCAUCACCUGCAACACGGACUAACAUACCGCGUUUCUGGCACUCGGCUCCAAAAUAUGCACCAACACCUGUAAACAUCAAUUGAAAACGGUGCAGGGAUGUGUGUAAGGUAAUGAGUUUAGGAGAGAGACACUUUUGUUGUUUGGUUGGUUAUUAGAGAUACUUUACCCCAUUCUGGGGGAAAUGGUUCGUUCGGAGAUUUGUUGUCUGUAAACUCAGUCCCCAGAAUCAAACCCGUUCCUCUUAUCUGAAAACCAUCACAAAAAUGUUCAAUCAAAGACUUCAACAGAUAGGCUGGUGAGUAACAUUAUACCUCUCCAAUAAUAGGACUACUCUUGGCAAAAGCUUUAAGACCAUCUUGAAACCUUGGGGAAACUUUGGCGACAUGUUCUGGUAUGUUCCUCUCCCUGUCAUAUGAAUAUUGAGCGUCAAGAAAGUGCAGAUAAGAAUAGAGAAAUGAGAACCAUAAUCACCAACUCACUUGUAUAUCUUUAACGCUUCAAUUGCUACAGCACAUGAAACUGGAUGACCAGAGUAAGUAAAUCCAUGCGAGAAAGCACCUGAAAUACCAAAACAAAAAAUGGGUUUUAAGAUCUCAGGAUACUGGAAUAUUACAAAGUUGAGCAUAACUAGCCCAUACCUAGCUUGUUGCUUUGAGAAUAUAUGACAUCUGCUACUUCUUGACUCAUAAGAAUGGCACCAAUAGGCAUAUAUGCUGAAGAGAGUGCCUGCAUCAUAUAUUAAAAACAUUUACCAAUUGUCUGGAGAAGUUUCGCAACAGUGAUAGGAAAUCUACAAAUCAUCUGACAAAAUCUCACCUUGGCUAAGGACACAAGAUCUGGCUUGAUGUUGUAUUUGUCACAGCCAAACAUUGUCCCCAGUCGCCCAAAUGCACAAAUCACCUUAUAGACCAAACAUAAUUAUAACGGGUAAUGAUAUCUUUUUUUUUCUUCAUCGUGAUAGUAAACAUGGUUCAAUAAGAUAAUGCAUAUACCUCAUCAGCAAUGAACAGGAUGUCAUACUUCUUAACAACAGCUUGAAUCUGCAGUACAGAAAUGAGAUAAGAAAAAAAAACACAUCACAUCCACAAUGACCUUACCACGAAAAAGAUUAAUCAUUGCAGUUUGGUAUUUAUGCCAACAAAGGUUUCGAAAUUGACCUUUUCAAAGUAUGUAGCAGGCGGAGGUAUCACACCGCCAGCACCCAUUACUGGUUCAGCAAUAAAAGCACCAAUCUGGUAAGAAGACAUUUGCGUUAGAUUGGAGCUGCCAACAUCAACGUUACUAAAUGAAGAUCGUAAUUUCCUUAGAUUGCUCACAGUUUCUGGUCCCUCUUUAAUGAUAAGAUCCUCUAAAUUCUUGGCUAAUCUGGUUGAGAACUCCUCUUCCGUUUCCCCUGCACAAAAAAUUAUCCAAGGUUAAAAUAAAAAGAUCACACUCAAGCUUUUAGCAAAGCUUCCCUUUAACCAAUAAUGGAAUUUAGAAUCCUUCAUACCCGGAAGAUGAAAACGCCAGUAAUGAGGGCAAUCUGUGUGCAACACAAAUGGUGCAGGUAAAUCAAAGUUUUGAUGCAACGCUGGGAGACUGUAAAAUUAGAGAAUCAAUAUUUUGAUGCAUUUGUUAGGCAAAUAUAAAGUCUCUUUGGCAUUUCUAAAGAGAAUAUCUGAGGAACUAUAUAUUCAUCAUACCCGGACAAACUUGCUGAUAUUAAAGUGGAGCCAUGGUACCUGAAAUUCAUAACACCACCCUUAUAAGUAAGUACUUCGAGAGCUUAUAGAAACAGAUAACACACAAAAUGACAAGCAAAUAUCCUUUUCUUUCUCACGAUUUCUUUCUCGCGAUAAACUUUUUCUUCUCAGGCCUCCCAAGUGCGUUAUUGUAAUACCAAACCAGCUUGACCUGCAUAAUACAUGAGAUUUAUAAGCUUCUAAACAAGGAGAUCAAGGUAGAUCAUAUAGUUUGGGGAACCUCAAACCUGUGUAUCAUUGGCCUCUGAUCCACUGUUUGUAAAAAAUGCUUUGGCCAUUUUCUUGGCCGUGAACAUCUCUAAAAGAUCCUUAGCAAGAUCCUGUUUUCGCAGGAAAAAUAUAACACAAUGAUCAAAUUCUCUUUAAUCACCCUAAUUACACAGCAGAAUGUACAAAAAACAUUAUUAAUAAAAGGACAGCAGAAGUAAAAAGUCUCACCAGAGAAGGCUUAGUAGUACGGUUCCAAAAGGAGUGAUAAAAGGGCAAGGUGUUCAAUUGCCCUACAGCAGCAGAAACAAGCCGUGGCUCAUUUCCUCCUGCAAGAUGUUGUGGUAUCAAUGCUAACACUUUCACAAAUAUCCUAGGAAUAGCGAAAUAUACAAAAAGGAAAAAAGAGAAACAUCAAGUCAAAUAGUGUGGUAACAGAAGGAACAAUAUACCUAAGGCAGUACACCAUAGACCAGCGAGAGAGUCAAGAUACUUCUUCCCAUGGUCAUCAUACACAUAACUCCCCUGUAAGAAGAAUGAAAGGAAAAGAAAUGUCACACACUUUUUUGUAGGAACAUUGACGAAUGAAUCAAAAAAGAAGGGGGGUGACCUCGGAUUUGGCUAUGAUCAAAGGAUCUAAAUCAGCACUCUGCCACCCAGCUGUAAAAGGUGCUAGCAUAUCAUGCCCCUUUGACCUGCCCAUCAGAAAACGCAACCACUUAUUCAUCGCCACGUUGACAAAAGCAUGAAACUUUUGCAGAAAAUAAUCACGAGUGUGAAACUUACCCAAGCUUCUCUGGUGAUGCUUCUGUAGUGAGGAUUCUUGAGCCAGGCAUGUAUUGGGAAGAAACAGCAUACCUGCUCUGCAAAGUAACCUGCCAUAUGAGAGAGGAGCGAGUUUUUUGAGCUAUGAAUCAAAAUCACUAUUUGAGUUAAUAUAUAUAAAAUGGAUUCCUUGAAAUUCUUCAAGAUCACUGUUUGGGUAGUUUAUUAUUAUAAAAUUAAAAAAAGGGUUCCUUGAUUACUGGAGAAUCCCACAAAAGUUACACUCUCACAAAGUCACGUUUGAUGGGAAUAUUAUUUGAAAGUACGACUUACAAAAAAAAAGAAAAAGAAGAAAGAAAGAUUCAAUUUUUAAGCAUUUGAACAUGAAUCUGGACAGAAUCCUGAUCUACUACGGGUGAGGAGUGACGAUGAAGCAGCUAAAAAGCAAUCGAAAGGAGCGAGUGAGAAAACCUGGGUAGUGCGCGCCAAUCGUCGGAGGCUGUUGACCACUGCCAUUUCGAAGAUUGAAUCUGUAGAAAUGAUCCUUUGAUUCUUUUGAGAUUUGUUCGCUUUUAAAAACAGAGGAGGAUCAUCAUCGUUGAUACCUUCCUUAUAUGAAUACUCUACAAAAUUAAAUAUCUUUUUUCUUAUUAUCUCUUCGACUCCCAUUUGAUUUUUGAUCAGUGACGUGUCAUUGACUCAUUUUAUUACAUAUAUAUUUUUGAUCAUCGUCCUUGAUACCUUCCUUAGUUUCCAUUCAUUUUUUUCCCACAAAUUGAAUUUAUUCAUACGGAAAAUACCAGUAUUUAUACCGGCCAAACAAAAUAGUCUCAGAACCAAAAGUCCAUAAAAAAUGACAACUAAAUAUCACAUUGAGGCGACUUAAACCCACACCAGAGUGACUUAAAAAAGAACAUAAAACAUAACAACUACAAUGAUAUAAUAGUGCACCUAGCAAUCUUUAGAAAUGAUAAAAUGCCAAUGAUCGAGAAUUACCGCUGCUGCCUAUAGUCCACCACCCGGUACAUUCUACUUCUACACCUAAACCACACUUAUCGAUGCUGCCUUGUCCGCCACACGAUAAGACCAAGACCCGGAGACUUCACAAACUCGACAAGGAGAACACGCUGCUCGGUCCACACUUUUUGGAUAUAUAAACACUCUACGAUCUAAGAAAAAAGCUCCUCCAAACACCAAGAAGAUGAAGCCUUGCCAACCGAAUUUUUUGAACACUUACUGGAGAGAAGAACCAAACGGCAAGCAAUCAAUAGACACAUUACGUCUAAAAGAAAGACUGCUAAGUCACAAGUAACACGACCAAACCCGGCGAAGCUCACUGAGCCACACCACAACUCCCUCCUCAAAAUAAAUCGAUCAAAGCAGCAAAAAGGAAAUGUGGAUGGACCACAAUAACCCACCGCAAUGAAGAAACUUCUAUACUUCAUCUAAUCAAAGAGCUGUUUCUCUGAACAAACAAAAGAUACCCCCGCAAGAAUAUGGACAAACUGACUCCACAUACAACAAACACACAGACCAACGCUUCGAGAAAAAGGUAGAACGAUAAACCUCAUGCCAUGAAGAACAGCGAAGGAAGGGACAAGCAAAAGCUCACCAGACCCACACCAAGUCGCUCUCCCCCAAACCUGAGUCAGAUUUGGAAAGGCACUGAAUCGAAACUACCCUCCUGUGAAGCCAGUGGUGGAGGCAAUUCAUUGUCACGGUAGUCAAAUGACCCACGUGAAAUUAUGAAAACAUUAUGGCUUUUAUUAAGAAUUUUAAAAUGACCCUGGUCCAAAAUAUUUAUUGAUCCCGUUAAAAUUUUUCUGACCCUUAUCCAAAUUACUUUGACCCUAGUCCAAAUUUUGUAUGGACCAUAAUCUAAUAACUACAUUAAUUAAUUUGCAGCCUAUUAGAUUUUAGAUAAAGAAUUACAACAAAAUAAGCCCACCAGAUAAAAUAAACCCAACCAUUAAUAUUAUUUCAAUGACUUAAGUCUAAUUAUUAUAUUAAUUUAGUCAUUUGGACGUUUUGUUUUCUUCUUCUCCUUUCUGGUCUUUCUGAAACUCGUCCAUUACAACAACAGUAGCCAGUAGCGAAGGUAAUAAAUAUUGUAUUUUGUUAAAUAAUUUAUUUAAGCUUUCUUCUUCUACCAAAUAUGAAUAAAGUAUUAUAUUUUUAUAAAAAUCAAAAGAUCUUAAAACUAGUUUUUAUUUAUGGCUUGUUCCUUCGAUUUUUAGAUUAUUUUAUCCUAAUAAUUGUUAUGUUUCAUAGUUUCAAAUGAUAAAAUACCAAAUGUCUACAUAAAGGAUACCAUUUGCACAAAAAACAGAAGGAUUGCUCAACAUACAAAUUUCGUAACUAUUAGACAUAGAGAAUUGAACAUUGUCUGUUAUAUUAUAUACUUGGUUUGAUAUUAUAUUUUGUUUUUAUUUAUGCAGGUACCAUCAGACAAAAUGGAACGAUAUUUGAAUUUGAACAAAAGAAAAGCUCCACCAUCUGAUAUCAACUUGGAUGAUUUGCCGUGGGAUCCAGCUAAGCGGAAAAACAUUCUAGACUACCCUUAUAAUCAAAGAGAUGAAGUAAGGCGCAAGUAUUUGACUAGAGGACCUUGUCAACCUAUUGGUCAUACUUUUCAACAAAAAUCAAUAGGAGGUGUAUUACGACGCUUUAAUCCACGUUGGUUUGAGCAGUACCCUGAUUGGUUAGAGUAUAGUCUGGAUCAAGAGAAGGCUUUUUGUUUGUUUUGUUACUUGUUCAGAGUUCAAGCUGGAAAACAAGGCGGAAGUGAUACUUUUGUAUCAACGGGGUUUUCUAGUUGGAAUAAGGCUGAUAGUUUCAGUAAGCAUGUGGGAGAUCAUACUAGUUUUCACAACGAUGCUAGAAAUAAAUGUGAAGACUUGAUGAGACAAAGUCAGUCUAUCAAGCAUGCUUUACAUAAACAAACCAAUGUUGUGAAGAAUGAUUAUCAGAUCCGUUUGAGUGCUUCGAUUGAUGUUUCUAGACACUUGUUACACCAAGGACUGUCUUUUCGUGGUCAUGAUGAGAAAGAAGAGUCAACAAACAAAGGUAAUUUCUUAGAGCUUCUGAAGUAUACGGCUAGUCAGAAUGAGGCUGUUAGAAAAGUUGUGAUGAACAAUGUUCCUAAAAAUAAUCAGAUGACUUCUCAUCCUAUCCAGAAAGACAUUGCUCAUUGCUUUGCGGAAGAAGUAACUAAGUCUGUCAUACAAAAAAUCAACAAUGAUGUAUUUGGCUUGCUGGUAGAUGAAUCGGCUGAUAUUUCAGAUAAAGAGCAAAUGGCUGUGGUUUUUCGUUUCGUUGAUAAAUUUGGGCUCGUAAAAGAAAGAUUUGUUGGUCUUAGUCAUGUGAAAGAGACAUCUUCUUCAACUCUGAAGGAUGCUAUUGAUGAUUUGUUUUCGAAACAUGGAUUGAGUUUGAAAAAGGUGAGAGGACAAGGUUAUGAUGGGGCCAACAAUAUGAAAGGAGAAUUCAAUGGUUUAAGAUCUUUGAUUUUGAGAGAAAGUAGAUCUGCAUAUUAUGUUCACUAUUUUGCUCAUCAACUUCAGUUGGUUGUUGUGGCUGUUGCAAAGAAGCAUUUUGAAGUUGGAGAAUUUUUCGAUAUGGUUCAUGUUCUGUUGAAUGUGGUUGGGGUUCUUGUAAAAGAAAAGUUAUGCUCACUGAAAGUAAUCGCAAGAGAAUGGAAGAAGAGAUUAGUAAGGGUAAAAUGAAGACUGGAACUGGGCUGAAUCAAGACCUUUCUCUUAAAAGACCUGGAUAUACUCGUUGGGGUUCACAUUACAAGACUUUAUUACGUCUUGUUGUGAUGUUUCCAUGUAUUAUUGAAGUUCUUGAACAUAUUCAGAUAGAAGGCAAAGAUGGCACCAAAAGACAACAAGCAUAUGGUCUCCUCAAAUAUUUUCAGACAUUUGGUUUUGUCUUUCAUCUACACUUGAUGCUUGUUGUUUUGGGACUCACUAAUAAUUUGUCAAAGGCUCUACAGAAAAGAGAUCAAGAGAUCUUGAAUGCAGUUUCAUUGGUUGAAUCUACUAAGCAACAAUUAUAGAAGCUUAGAGAUGAAGGAUGGGAUGAUUUUGUGGCUGAAGUUUAUUAUUUUAGUGAGAAGAAUAAUAUUGAAGUGCCUAGUAUGGAAGAAAACUUUGUUGACUCAAGAAAACCAAGGAGUAAAACUGGCAUCACAAACUUGCAUCAUUAUAAGGUGGAGUGUUUUUACACUGUUCUAGAUUUGCAGCUUCAAGAGUUCAAUGAUCGAUUUGAUGAGGUGAAUUCUGAACUACUAAUCUGUAUGGCAUCCUUAAGUCCGACAGAUUCUUUUGUUCAGUUUGACAAGUCAUUGUUGGUGAGACUAGCUGAGCUUUAUCCAGAUGAUUUUAGUUGUGUGGAGCGAAGAUCUCUUGAGCAACAGUUUGAAAUCUACCUUGAUAAUGUGAAAAAGAUGAAAGAUUUUCUAAUCUAGAGAGUAUUGGUGAUCUUGCUCGUGUAUUGGUUGAGACAAGGAAACAUCUUUCUCAUCCUUUGGUUUAUCGUAUUUUGAAGCUAUGUUUGAUUCUUCUUGUUGCAACUGCAAGUGUUGAAAGGUGCUUCUCUGCCAUGAACAUUGUGAAGACGGCCUCGCGUAACAGUAUUGGUGAUGAAUUUUUAAGUGAUUAUCUAAUUUGUUUCAUUGAAAAGCAAAUUCUUGAUACAGUGGCAAACGAAACAAUCAUAAAAAGCUUUCAAAAUAUGAGUGAGCGUAGAGUACAUCUUUGAAAUUCGAUGUACGGUGAUAUUUUUAUUAUUCAAUAGUUUAUGUACUUUAAGCAAAGUUAUACUAUGACCCCCGUCAACAUUUUCUCUGCCUCUGCCACUGUGUGAAGUCCUGCCCCGACGAAUCCUUGCAGCAUCUCGUUGCUAUUCCAGUGACGUGACAGACUCUGCCUCGCCGAUUUAGAUCCUCCAGAAACUCCAAGAAAAUCAAGAAUAGCGCGCAUUUCGAUACAGUGCAAAAAAAAAGACGAAAUCGGUAAGGAACAUGAGAAAGGACAAAAAAAACUACAAAAAGAGGAGGAGGAGAGGGCUCUCACGGUGACUAACCACCGGAUACGCCCCUCUUCUGAUAUGAUUCUGUUGACAGUGCUUUUAGGAUUUUCGCAAGUGUAUUCUCUUUCACGACUAGUUUCUAUUCAUUUUGGCAGCCAUAUUUUGCAAAUUCCUUACCAUAUUAAAUCACACCAACUACGCCAGCUUGUUUCUUUUUUCUUUUAAUUCAAAAGUUGAUUAAUAUUAAAUUGAAGUUCGUAGGAACAAAAUAAUUAUGUUGUGUGAAUAUUUUUUUAGCAUAAAAUAACAUAAAAAUAACAAACAUAUUGCGGUAAGAGAUCGAUGAUAGAAUCAUUUUCAGUACUGCUAAACUGUUUCCAUUUUAGUGAGUGGUUAGCGUAUACUUGUUUUUUUUUUUUUGAAAAAAAGCGUAUACUUGACUUGUUUUACCUAUUGCAGCUAAAGGUUACGGCCGAUUAUUAUUGUCAAGAUAGUCAUCUUCGCUGAUAUGUUCAUUUUGUUUUUCUAUUUAAUAACUUGAAUCACAGUGGUAACAUAUAUAGCGUUAACAAUCAGUACAAAUUUAGAUAUCAUUCAUUAGGUUAGUAUAUGUUUAUCGAUGCAUGAAACAAUAGAGAAAACGAUCCGUGUUACAAAAAUUACAAAUCAGUCUCAUCCAUGUCAUAGAUGACAAUGACAAGACAGUCACAUAAGAUAAGAAACUUUUUUUGUCUUCUCAUUCAAAUAUUAUUUACUAUACAGAAAAAAAAUUAAGAACUAGCAGAAACUAAACUGUGUGGCGUUUUACAGCUUAAUAAACGCUGAGAAGUUCAGGUUACAAGGCGCAAUUUAGCACCCCGACGGCGUGCAAUCUAUCCAUCAUUCAUUCAUUCGUAUCUGAGUAGAGGGAAACGAAACGAUAAAUCAAUUUCUAGCAAGUCAAUUCCUAUCUGUCAAUCUUCUUCGCAUUUUAGAGCGAGAAAAUGAGACUUUUUAGAGAGAGAGAGAGAAAAAGUAGGCAAGAAAGACGGUCACUGACUGAAUAAAAGAUCACUCACUCUCACACCCUUUCAAGAGAUCUCAUCGCCCGAUCUUUCCUUCCUUCCCCGCCGGUAAAGUUUCUAGCUUUGCUUCUUCUCUCGUGUCUCUUCGUUUCUCAAUUUGAGAGUUUACUGCAAAGUUUCCUUAUUUAUUCCAAUACAGAGUUGCUGAUUAAAAGUAUUCAUCAAUAAAGUUUUGGUUUUAAUUUUGAGAUCCUAACAUUGUCCGAAGAAUCUAGCUACUCAUUUCAGUUUCCUUACUUGUGUAUCUAUUGCUGCUUCAGCCCAAAAAGGAAAGUUUGUUUCUUUCUCUAUAAUUCAGCUGCUAUUCAAUUCUGCAGGUAGUUCUUAACUUGCUUUGAUAGAAAAUGGGUGCUUCAGGGAGAUGGAUUAAAGCACUUGUUGGUUUCACCAAGUCUGAUAAGUCAAAGUCUAAAAAGAAGGAUGAUAAUGUAAGCACACACUAUGUUAUUUCUUUACAAGAGAAUCUCUUUAUCUAAAUGCCAAAUGUUGUAUACUUUCUUCACCUUUUUUUUUGUAUUUUCAUUAUAUGUUUGUUCAAUUGGCGAAGGUGAAGACUGCAACCAAGAGCCGGUUUGGGAGAAACCAUUCUGUUGAUUUUGAUGCUGAAAAGUUUCAACUUGGAUUUGAAGAUUCCAAUACGCAUAGCAGCAUGUUAGAUAAUGGGGUCUCCACUUCAACUUCUUAUGGUGCUGCUAAUGAAGAACAAAGGAAGGAGCACAUGGCUGCAACUCGGAUUCAAACAGCUUUUCGAGGGUUUCUGGUAUCAUCAUCACUUUCUUCGCCCUGUCAACUUUUUUUUUAAUAUUUGUCUCAAGCGUUACUGAGAGAAAGAUGAUACCUUUUUUCUCAGGCUAGAAGGGCUUUACGAGCAUUGAAGGGAUUGGUUAGACUUCAGGCCCUUGUUAGAGGACACGCGGUGAGAAAGCAAGCUGCUGUAACGCUUCGAUGCAUGCAAGCGUUAGUAAGAGUCCAGGCUCGUGUACGCGCAAGACGUGUUCGUCUCGCCUUGGAAAGUGAAACGGGUCCGCAGAUGCUUCAGCAGCAGCUUGCAGAUGAAGCCAGGGUUCGAGAAAUAGAGGUGUGAUGAUCACUUGUCUCAGUUAUUUAACUUUUGCAAAGAGAAUUAUAGUUAUGUUGACUAUUUGUUCUCAUUUCUCAGGAAGGUUGGUGCGAUAGCAUUGGUUCUGUUGAACAAAUCCAAGCCAAGAUACUAAAGAGGCAGGAAGCUGCAGCUAAGCGUGAGAGGGCUAUGGCAUAUGCUUUGACUCACCAGGUUACUCACAACAACCUCUAUGCUUGUUAAGAAGUAACUGUUUGAAUUUUCGCACUUUGUACUAAUCAAAACAUUCCUUAUAACUCUUAUCUGAUUGUCAUGGGUUCUCUUCUAUAGGAUCAAUCUUUAACCAAACACUAUGAUAGCAAAACUGAAGCUGUAUACUCUUAAAUCUUACAUAUAAAAUUUGGUAUGUUGUAGUGGCAAGCAGGAACUCGGCAGUUAUCUGCGCACAGUGGUUUUCAGCCUGACAAAAACAACUGGGGAUGGAACUGGCUAGAAAGAUGGAUGGCUGUUCGUCCAUGGGAGAAUCGGUUUCUUGACAGUAACCUCAGGGACGAUGCCAUAUUAGGUGAAAACAAUAUGGAGCAAACUGAGAGUGUUGUGCAUAAAACUCAGAUGAAAAUUGCAAGCAAGAUUCCAAACACUUCAAAUCUUGCGUCCGGUGUUUCGAGUCAGAAGGUAACCGGGCCAUCUCUGUCGGAUGGUAAUUCCACUUCACCUGGAAUAUCUUCAAGCAUGCCAGUGCCAGUGGUGUCCAAGGAUAGGUCAAAGCUCGCUAAAGACGAUCUUGCUGUAGAAGUUGUUAACUCAAGACCUGGUGCUGGUCCAAGAUCACACAGCAAUCCAAAAGAAAGAUCAAGAGCGCCAGAUAGAGCUUCUAAGGAACGAUUAUCUCUGCCAAACAGUGGUCAGAUCUCUUUCUGUAUCCCCUAAGUUUCCUCUUUUUUUUUUUCCCUUUUUGAUGGUUGAGUGAAUAGUCUUAUCAACAUGGGGAUAGUGAUAAGAAAAUCAGCUUUGCAUUACUCAUAAGAAUACAGACCACAACUUAUAUGUGUAUACCUAAGAAGCAAUACAUUUGAUCUUUGAAACAUUUAGGCUGUCUUUUGACCUUUUUUUUUCCUUUUUAAGGCUAAAAUUGUGAACAUUGGUUCUUGAGCAGGAAAAUCCUUAGGAUCUCAGUCAGCUAAAGCCAAAUCUUCCCAAAACCAGAAAAGACGCAACUCUGAUCCAAUAAAACAGAGGCUUGCAUAGCCCUGGCUAGAGUCUCUGAGAAUCGUCAGUCCAUCUAUCACUCCCAUCGUUCCUGUACAUAAACACAGCUUCUGAAAAUGGAAACAAAAAGAGAAAAAGAGGAUAUCAUGUGAGAACACAAUGGGUUACAUUCAGAGACUUGCGUGGUGGUUAGAGAUGUCAAAUGGGCUGUCCAUGUCCACUGGACAUGUCCAAAUGGACAAAUCAGUUUAUUGGACAUUAUUUUUUUUAAGUCCAAAUUAUACCAAGUUCAAAUUGUCCAGACCAAAUUGGACCAUUCCAAAUGGGCAUUCCGCGGAGUCCAAUUAAAAAAUCAGUGUUAACAUACAAAAAUUCAUAUUUAAUAUAUUAUUAUGUGUUGUAGAAUUCAAAAGCAUAGAUACGAUUUUGGCGAGAAAUCUCGAUUUACGGUUUUGGAGGAAAAUCUCGAUUUUACGGUUUUGGCGGGAAAUCUCGAUUUUAUAGUUUUGGCGAGAAAUCUUGAUUUUACGGUUUUGGCGGAAAAUCUCGAUUUUACGGUUUUGACAGAAAAGUAUAUCUACAGUUUUGGCGGAAAAUCUCGAUUUUACAGUUUUGGCGAAAAAAUCUCGAUUUAUGGAUUUGGCGGGAAAACUCGAUUUAUGGUUUUGGCGAAAAAACUUGAAAAUUCAAUUUUACGGUUUUGGCGGAAAAACUAGAUUUACAGUUUUGGCGGGAAAUUUCGAUUUUACGGUUUUGGCGGAAAACGAGAUUUUACGGGUUUAACGUAAAAAUGUGAUUUUACGGUUUUGGCAAGAAAACGUUAUUCCACGGUUUUAACGGGAAAAUAUGAUUUACGGUUUUGACGGAAAACAUGAUUUUUACUCAAAUACAUUAACCCUAAAUAUUUUAAAAUUUUGGGCCGUCCAUGUCCAUCUGGAUUUGUCCAUUUGGAUAUGGGUGUAUUUGGGCCUCGUCCAUUUGCACAAAACAAAAUUAUGGUCAAAUAUGGGUAUGUCCAUAUUGGUUUGGACAUGGGCUACCCAUGGACAGCAUGCCCAUUUGACAUCCCUAGUGGUGGUACAUUGAUCAGAACUCAGAAGAGAACACCAUCGUCUUGGCGUCUUUCUGCCUUCAUUGUUGUUUGUUAUUUGUGUGUCAGACAUCCUUUUUCUUUUGUCCAUGAUUCUUAUAUGGAUUAUUAGUACGUAGUGUUAUUAUUCAAGUAAAGUUGUUUGGGGUAUAUGAGUGAGACAGUUUUUUUUUGUUGGGAGAACGAACCAUGCUGCUCCUGGCCUUCCCAAUGUGAUAUAUAUACAGUAGUGUGUUGUAUUUGGUAUAAGUUCCAAUUAUUCAGAGUGAUAAUAUAUAUUAUCAUCAUGAUAAGGUAUCACUUGGCUUGUCAUCUUUUCGAAACAGGAAAGUGAAUCAUUAAUUAAAGUGCAGGGAAGGAAAUGUCAACAAGCGAAGAGAUCACGAAAGCAAAAAAGCCCUAAACAUUCCCUGUGAAAGUUUUCUAAGGAAGCAAAUUCAAAAAAUGCAACAUAAAAGGAUUUAAUUGAAUCGACAUUUAUAUUAAAGAACAUACAUGUAUACAAAACACAUGACAUAUACAACCAUAAGGAUUUGAUGCAGCUUUUCUGAAUCUUGGAACCAUACUACUACUACUACUUUACCUCGAAGUUGCACAAUGUGCAAUAUAGAAGAGCCUCUUCGUUGUUUCCCUGUUGUUCAGACCUCUCUUCCUUCUUUCCCUGUCGUCUUCGAGAACAAACAUGCAAUAGAAGAUAGCUAGAGGCUUGUAGCAAGAUUUGUAGGAACCUGAAACUCGUUAAAUUUGCAAACAUCCAUGCAUGUGUGCAAUUUGGUAUUCGGUUAUAUGGUUUUAUCCUAAGAUUCAAGUUGCUAAACCUCGUCUCUAUCUCUUAUUAGAUUUGGAAGUAGAUACAGCUUGAAAAAGCAUUUAUAAACAUGACACCGGAGAGUAAAGGCGGAUCAAAAUGUAUUUCCCAAAUGCUUCCUCCGACAAAAGUUGCACAGAAAGCAUAGUCAGCGACCACCACCACCAACAUGCAAAACACUGUAUUAUUACUUUAGGACUAAUUCUGAUAAACAAAUUAGCUAUAUGUUUUAGUUUUAGCCUAGUUUCGAUUUGUUUUUCAUAAAACUUAAUUUAGUUCUCCGAAAUAGCAGAUUUUGAAAAUUACACAUACAAUACACACAUUUACAAACCUGUUAGAAAUUUUCCACCACUAUAAAUUUUACACAUUCACAGGCUUUUGUUAGUCUUGAACCUGAAAAAGAAUUGAAAACCUUUUGCUAGUGUCAUAUACAAGCUAAAUACCACUAUACUAGGUUAUGAUAUCUAAAGUAUACAAACUAAAUAAUAGAUAUUAUUGUAAAUAAAAAACAUAAGCUAAAAUAUUGAAACAAGUAGAAUCUUUAAUCGUUCGUGGACCAACCAUAUAAAAGCCUAACUCUAGAACUAGAAGACGCCUACUUUAUAGACCAUAGUAUAUAUUCAUUCAUAAUGCCAUUAGUCACGCUUCAUCUAAAUUACCAAGUCAGUCUUGGCACGCGCAACGCGUGCGCAGUGGAGAAGAUAUGGAACACUCACACACACACACGGAUUUUUUUAACGGAGAGAGACAGAGAGAAACCCUAGACACCAAAGAAAAAAAGAAAAAAAAAAGGAAUCGUGCCUCCUCCUCCUCCUCCUCCUCCUCCGCCCACUCGCCCCCUCAGAUCGCGUGAACAUCACAAACCAUUUUCUCUCCUCCUUCCCUCUCUCUCUCUCUCUCUCUCUAUCAUCCAUCCUCCCUUCCGCAGAUCGAAACGCCAACUCGCACCGAUUAGCGCGUGCCUCCUCAUCGCGACGAGAUUACAGCUUAUUGCUCUCGAUUUUCCUCUUCGUUCCAGGUGAUUCCAUCUCAUCUUCGUUACAGUGAAAAAACCACCACGGAUUCUAUAUAUAUAUAUAUAUAUAGUGUUCGAUUUCAUUGAGAAUUUUCUGAUUAAUCUAGUAGUUGCAGGAAGUGAUGGACAUAGAUCUUCGACUACAUUCAGGCGACCUCUGCAAAGAAGGCGACGACGAAGAACACAGAGGACUUGACAACGAAGACAUAGACAUUAGCAAAAUCGAGGAUGACGUCACCGUUGAGCCACACACCGAUAACAACGGCAUCACUCUUCCAGAGCACAACACACAACAACAACAACAACAAGGCGUGAAUCUUGAACCGCUUAACGGCAUGGAGUUCAACUCGCACGGCGAGGCGUACACCUUCUACCAAGAGUACUCUCGAACCAUCGGCUUCAACACUGCUAUACAGAACAGUCGCAGGUCGAAAACCACUAGAGAGUUUAUCGACGCCAAGUUCGCUUGCUCUAGGUACGGUACUAAACGGGAGUACGACAAGUCUUUCAACAGGCCGAGAGCUAGACAGAGCAAGCAGGAUCAUCCUGAGAACAACAUGUCUGGUCGGAGGACGUGCGCGAAGACUGACUGUAAAGCGAGUAUGCAUGUUAAGAGGAAGCCUGAUGGGAAGUGGGUGAUUCACAGCUUUGUGAGGGAUCAUAACCACGAGCUUUUGCCUGCUCAAGCUGUGAGCGAGCAGACGAGGAAGAUCUACGCUGCCAUGGCUAAGCAGUUCGCUGAGUACAAGACUGUCAUCAGCUUGAAGAGUGAGUCCAAAACUUCUUUUGAGAAAGGUCGGAGUUUGUCUGUGGAGACUGGGGAUUUCAAGCUUCUCCUUGAGUUCUUGUCGCGGAUGCAGAUUCUGAACUCCAACUUCUUCUACGCGGUGGAUCUUGGUGAUGAUCAGCGUGUGAAGAAUGUGUUUUGGGUGGAUGCCAAGAGCAGGGUUAACUAUGGCAGUUUUUGUGAUGUUGUUUCUCUUGAUACUACCUACGUGAGAAACAAGUACAAGAUGCCACUUGCUAUUUUUGUUGGUGUGAACCAGCACUACCAGUAUAUGGUCCUUGGGUGUGCUUUACUAUCUGACGAGAGCGCAGCUACAUUCUCUUGGCUAAUGGAGACUUGGCUGAGAGCGAUGGGUGGACAAGCUCCAAAGGUUUUGAUCACUGAGCAAGAUCCUGUGUUGAACUCCAUUGUCCCUGAGGUCUUCCCUAAUACACAGCAUUGCCUUUUUCUUUGGCAUGUGUUGAUUAAGGUCUCUGAGAAUCUUGGUCAAGUCGCUAAGCAACAUGAGAAUUUUACAGCGAAGUUUGAGAAGUGCAUCUAUAAAUCAUGGAAGGAGGAAGACUUUGCGAGGAGAUGGUGGAAGAUUCUUGCUAGAUUCGGUCUCAAAGACGAUCAAUGGAUGCAGUCUUUAUAUGAAGACCGAAGGAAAUGGGCACCGACCUACAUGACCGAUGUUCUUUUGGCAGGGAUGUCUACGUCUCUGAGAGCUGACAGUGUUAAUGCUUUCUUCGACAAGUACUUGCACAAGAAGACGAGCGUACAGGAGUUUGUGAAACUGUAUGAUACGAUUUUGCAAGAUAGAUUUGAAGAAGAAGCCAAAGCUGAUUCGGAAACAUGGAACAAGCCACCAACAAUGAAGUCCCCAUCGCCAUUUGAGAAGAGUGUUUCCGACGUCUAUACUCCUGCUGUAUUCAAAAAGUUCCAGAUCGAAGUUUUGGGUGCAAUCGCGUGUAGUCCCAGGGAGGAGAACCGAGAUGCAACGUGCUCUACUUUUAGAGUUCAGGAUUUUGAAAACAAUCAGGACUUCGUGGUUACAUGGAGCCAAGCAAAGGCUGAAGUCUCUUGCAUGUGUCGGUUAUUUGAGUAUAAAGGCUAUCUCUGCAGACACACGCUUAACGUUCUCCAGUGUUGUCAUCUUUCUUCCAUCCCCUCUCAGUACAUAUUGAAACGGUGGACCAAAGAUGCAAGAAGCCAGCAUUUUCCAGGAGAACCUCAGCAGUUGCAGACGAGGCUCCAGAGGUAUAAUGAUUUGUGCCAGAGAGCUUUAAAGCUGAGUGAAGAGGCAUCCAUCUCUCAAGAGAGUUACAAUAUUGCCUUCCUUGCUAUUGAAGAAGCUUUGGGAAACUGUGCUGGUGUUAAUACUUCCGGCAGAAGUCUUCCAGAUGUGGUCGCUUCGCCAACACAAGGUCUGAUAUCCGUCGAGGAGGAUAAUCAGAGCAGAAGUGCAGUCAAGACGACGAGCAAGAAAAAGAAUCCAACUAAGAAAAGAAAAGUAAACUUCUUGUUCAUGAUCUCUCUGUACAUGCACAACUUAAGGUUUUUCUUAGCUUUGCGCUUUUAUGAAUUGCAAGUCUUAUGAUCCUCCUGACUAUGGAUUGCAGGUGAACUCAGAGCAGGAGGUAAUUCCAGUUACAGCGCCAGAAAGCUUGCAACAGAUGGUCUGUCUUUGUUAACAUGUAGUAGCAAGACUCUGUUAAACUAGAGAGAGUCCCCUAAGUAUAUGAUAUCUGAAUUUUGUAAUUUGCAGGAUAAGUUAAGUCCAAGGACAGUUGGCUUAGAAAGUUAUUAUGGAACACAGCAAAGCGUGCAAAAUCUGGUAACUAAGCACAAAUUACUUGUUAUUAUUCUCUUAUAGACUGAGAUUUUUGUUUGUAAUGUGGUCUGAUUAUAUGUGUGUUUACAGGUCCAGCUGAACUUAAUGGCGCCAAAUCGCGAUAACUUUUAUGGGAAUCAACAAACAAUCCAAGGAUUGGUAUGAAAACAAAAUCGCGAUAACUAAGCUUCUGUUGUUUUUUUCUAUCAUUAACUUUGGAUAAAAACAAAAAAAUCCCCGGCUGGUUUUUUGUAGCGACAGUUGAACUCAAUAGCACCAAGCUACGACAGUUACUACACUGCUCAGCAAGGCAUCCAUGGACAGGUACCUUACCUUAUUCUCAGAGCUUUUACUCGACUGCAAAACCUAUUAAAAAAAUGAUCACUCUUUACUUUUGUUCUUUCUAGGGAGUAGAUUUCUUCCGUCCUCCCAACUUUACUUACGAUAUCCGGGUAAAUUUUCAGUUCUAGUAACAUAUUUGCAUCUCUAGUGGUGAAUUUUUGUUCAUGAAAACAAAUGUUUAUUACUGUACAGGAUGAUCCUAAUGUGAGGACGACACAGUUGCAUGAGGACGCGUCUAGACACACUUAAACCAGGCUAAAACCUAACCAUGGUUCAAAUCUUAAAGAGAGUCCGUCCCUCUGUAGACAAAAAGCCAACAAGCACUUGGAAGAUGAAGCUCAUAUCUCGAUCUGGUUUUGGAAACAGAACAAGGAGCACUUCUUGUUUUAUCGGCUCAAGUGUUUAAAUAGGAUAUGUUGUAUUGUUUCGGUUAUAAAGAUACCGCUUCUGUUAAUAUUUGGUCAGUGUGUGUAUUAUUAGUUCUUGAUGAUCCCCAAAAAAGCUUUUGAUCAUUGAUUGUUCGAAUUUAGAGGAGGGGGAAACAUUUGUUUAGAGGAUAUUUAUCUAUUUAUAAACUCUUGUUAAUUCUUUUCAUCAAGUUUCUUAUAUUUGCAUCAGAUUAUUCCCUGAUCUUAAGCCACAGUAUGGUCUGUUGUUUUGCUCUUUCAUCCUCGUACAAUAUCUAAGACAAUCCUCAGCCUAUUUCUAUUCUUUUUAUAUUUUUCUUCUAGAAUAAAACAAAACUAGGUGUUUUGUCCGCGAUGCGAACUUAGACAUUUUCAUAAUUUUUGAAAAGUUCUUUGUACAAUAUAUUCAUUAUACUAAAAUAAAUCUUAAAAUAAUUUAAUAUUAUAUUUUUAAUUAUAUAAUUUAAAAAAUAUAUUUGAUUAAUAUUUAAUUAUAUCAUUUAUGUUUUAACUUUUUACUAAAAUACUUUUUCAGAUAACAAUACAAUAUAUAUAUAUAUAUAUAUAUUAUUUUUUUUUUAAUUAUAUUUUUGGAUUUUGGAUAAUUCAAUAUUCUAUUUUAAUUAUAUAAUCAAGAAUUUUAUUUGAUUAGUAUUUAGUUAUAUAAUUCAUGUUUUUAACUUUUUAUAUAUAAUUCAUGUUUUUAACUUUUUACUAAAAGACUUUUUCAGAUAAUAAUACAAUAUAUACAGAAAUUAUCUCUUUUUAAAAUUAUAUUUUCAGAUUUUGGAUAAUUCUUACUAUUAUUAAUUUUAAUCAAUUAUCUAAUCAAAUAAAUUAAAAUUUCAUUUUUAUUUUUUCAUUUAGUUAUACAUUUUAUUCAUUAAGGGUAUAAACGAUUAAUCAAUAUUUAGUUAUAUAAUUCAUGUUUUUAACUUUUUAUAUAUAAUUCAUGUUUUUAACUUUUUUACUGAAAGACUUUUUCAGAUAACAAUACAAUAUAUACAUAAAUUAUCUUUGUUUAAAUUAUAUUUUCAGAUUUUGUAUAAUUUUUACUAUUAUUAAUUUUAAUCAAUUAUCUAAUCAAAUAAAUUAAAUUUUUGUUUUUAUUUUUUUAAUAGAUUUACACAUUUUAUUCAUUAAGGGUAUAAACGAUAUUAACCAUUCUAACUUUUAACGUGAGAGCUUGAUUCUAACUUCGCAAAUAAUAGUAUAAAUUAUUAUAGAGGUAGAUUUACUCUAAUGUAUGCUUCUAAAAUAGAAUUUUUAUUUAUAUUUUUCAAAACAAAAUAUAAAAAAAUAUUAUUUUCAUCUAUAUAAAACUACUAUUGUUUUGUAUUUUACUCUAUAAAUAGAGAAAUUCUAUUAUAACGUUAUACAUUCAAAGGAUCAUCACCUUAGAAGAGAUGAUGAGAAAAUGGUUUAAGCUCGAGCAUCACAUUCUUUUAUUCAUUUUCGUAGAGUUGACAUACAUAGCAUCUGUAAAUGGUUUCAAGUUUGAUCAAUAAAUUUGAUAUUCAAUUAAAAAAAAAAUUAUACAUUCGAAUAAAGUCAUCUUUAUAAUAGAGUUUUUUAUUUUAUGAGAAAAUAUAAAAAUAUAUACCGGUGUUGCUCUUAUAACGUGCUCAUAUGAGCAGUGUGAUGAGUGUUUUGCCCAGAAAGUCUAACAGAUAAUAUUUGAUUUUGGUAAGUUGUCAGAUUACUGGUUGACACAAAAAAUAUUUAAAAACUAAAAACCUCGUUGUAACAUAGUGUUUAAAACUAUCAAUUUAGUUAAAAAUAGAAAAACAUACAUUCCAAAAACGAAAAAAAUGAAAAUAUAAAUUUAAUUCACAUAUUAGAUUUAGUAAUCAUUACACAUAGUAAAUUCUGUGGUUUUCUAAACUUAUUUAAUGAACAACACUCCUAAACAAAUAAUGAUUCAUAUUAGUCCCCAUAAAGUAUAUAUUAAAUGUGUGAAUUGAUGCAAAGUUCUAACAAAAGAGAACGAUGAUUUAGUUCCCCAUAUUACAUAUCACACGUCAGGAUUUGGUUUUGUUUGAAAAUUCUGACUAGUUUCAUGUCUGAUCUUUGGUCGUAACUUGUUUUACAUUCAUUCUAAGUCACCUUACCCCGUCAAUUAAUUUAUGCCCACUCAUUCCUUAAUCAACUGCGUAAAUUAAAUAAUAUGUACACCUAUGGUCCUAUCAAUUAUCAAAAGACUAGUGUCUUAAGUAUCACUAGAUUUUCACCCGUGCAACCGCACGGAUGUUUGUUUUCACUUUUCUAUACAUAAAUUAUUGUUUUAGAACAUAAGUGGUAUAUAUUUUUAAUGUUAAUCAUAUACUUAAAUAUUUAUAUAACUAUUUCAAAUACGAUAAUUUUAUAAUUUACAUGUUAUAAUUAAUUAAUUGUUUAAACCUUAUGUAUUUGUCACUUCUUAUUAUAUAUUUAUCUUAUUGUAUUUGCAUUUAGUUAUUAAGCAAAUUAAUAUAUUCAUGAGAAAAUAUAUUUAAAAAAUAUUUUGUAUUUAAUUUAUGCUAAAUUCUGAUCCGUAUUUCAAAACUGGAUUUCUUUUUACCAAUAUUUUUAUGCUUAUUCAUUUUAGAUAAUUUAUUAUUGUAUAUAUAAAAGUGUAAAAUAUGUUAAUUUUUAGACAAGUAUUAUAUAGUUUUUUAAUUUUAAGUCGUUCUAUCAUUAUAUUAUAUUUUAAAUAAAUAGUUUAUAUUUAUGAAAACAAAAUUUAUAAAUUUAUCAAUUGAAUAUAAUUUUAUCAUAUUUAGUUUAGUAUAAUACUUAUAUUUUAACAUGAUCAUGACUAUAAAAGUAGAUAAAAUAGGAUAUAAUUUAUUUAUUUUCAUUUCUAAACAAUAACUUAAAAUACAUUAAGUUAUUGUUUAAAUAUUACACAGAUUUAUUAGAAUUUUUAAAAUAUAAUAUAUAAAUAUAUAUUAUAUUUAAAAUGAAAAUAUAUUAUGAUUAAAGUAGUUACAAAGAUUUUUUAUUAUUAACUUUAAAGAAAUACAUGUUAAUUUUUAUACAUGUAUUAUAUAGUUUGAUAAUAUUAAUCCAUCUUACCAACAUAUUAGAUUUUAUUUUUGAACAUAAAUAUUUUAUAAUUACGAAAAUAAAAUAUAUAAAUAUAUAAAUUUAAUACAAUUUUAUUAUAUUUAGCUCAAUAUAAUAAUUUUAAUUUAAUAUGAUUGAUUAUGAUUAUAUAAUAACUAAAAUAUUAUAGAUUUUUUUAUUUUUCAUUUUAUAUAACUGAAUAUAUUAAUGUAUAAUAAUAUUUUAAACUAAUUUUGAAAUUAGUGAAAAUAUUUAAAUAUAAUUUCAAAAAUGAAGAUCUUGUAAAAAUCUUUUUAAACAGAUUUGUUAUAAUUUUAAAAUAAAUAUAUUUAUAUUUAAAAUGAAAAGAUAUCAAAAGAUACUGUGAUUAAAAUAUUUCAAAAAUUAUAUUUAUUAUUAGUCUGAAUUAAAAUAUAGUAUGAAUUUGGGGUUUUUGCCAAAAUUAACCUACAACUUGAUUUUAAACCCAAACCUAUACCCAAACUUGAAUCAAAUGCAAAACUAACCUAAAAACCUAGUGAAAUUACAACUCAGCCCCUUGUGACCAAACAAAAAAACAGAAGCCAUUUUUACGAAUAUAGCCCCAGUAAAUCGUCUGAGUCGUCUGAAUUGUUGGAAGUCGUCUGGACGACUGAAGUUUAAGUCGUCUGGUACCAGUUUAUUUUAAAAAUAAUUUUUAAAUCUUGUAAAAAAAUAUUUUGAUGCGUGAAAAAUAAAAAUCAGAUGAUUAUAAACAGUUUUAAGUGAUAUAAAUUAAGAUAUGAUAAAAUUGAUUUGUUUUGAAGAUAGAUGAGUGGAAGUAGUGAAUCAUGAUAUUCUUUGGUUUAUGAGUUUGGCAAACAUAUGUUGUAGUAUUGUAUGUAUUGUUAGGGUUAGAUCUUGGAAAACUAAAAUGUUUUUUUCAAAAAUUAGUUUUCAUCUAUAUGUGUUUCUUUAUGUGUAUAGUAAACACUUUUCAACUUUGAUUUGAUUUUAUGAAGUGUUUAAUUAGGGGUUAUGUUUAGGGUGUGGACGACUUAUAUUUCAGUCGUCUGUUGAAUAAUUUACACGGACGACGUAUAUUUCAGUCGUCCACAUCGUACCGAACCUUUAAUUUUACCAAUGUACGUUUUAACCUAACCGGAUCAUUUACCGGACAUAUAAAAGCUAUUUUUUCACUAUUUCACAACUUUUCGAAACCCUAGCGCAGUUUCUCUCCAACGGCGAUUUCGAAGGCGAUAAGACGAAAACCCUACCGUGGUCGUGUUCCGCCGUUAUCUUCGCCGGUAAUCUCUCCGAUUACGACGAAUCUCGUUUCUCCUUCAUGCCGUAGAGUAUUUUCGUAGUUUAAACUGACCGUCCGCUUCCUUUUUUUCAGAUCUGAAAUCUCGUUUGCCAAACUCCGCCGCCGGUAUGUUAUUUCUCAUGUAUUAAGGCGUUUAGCCGCCGGAAAACCCUAAAUAUUUUAGUAUUGAUUCUUCUUUUCCCUUCGAUUUGCAGAUCUGUAACGGCUUGGGACCACAUCUUCUCCGACCAUAUCUUCUCGGACAAUAUAUUCUCCAACUGUAAGUCAUUCGUCUUUUGUUUAAAAGAUUUUGAGAUUGUUGUAGUCUUUUGCUGAAAGAUUACUCAGACGACUUCCAGGAAGUGAGAAGACUACUUGGACGACUUCCAUGAAGUCUUCUACGAUGUCUUACUCUCUGGACGACUUACAUGUAAGUCGUCUAGAGAGUAAGACAUCGUAGAAGACUUCAUGGAAGUCGUCCAAGUAGUCUUCUCACUUCCUGGAAGUCGUCUGAGUAGUCUUCUCACUUCAUGGAAGCCGUCUGCAAGUCUUCUAUAGCAUUUAGCAUAGUGCGCAACCUAUGUGUUUGAGAUGGUUGUUUGUGAUUAUUUGCAGGCCUUAAAAUGGAUUUACGAGAACUCCCGCCGAGGAUGUUUACAUUAGGAGAAGAGCCCGAUGCAAUCAAGAGCAUUUCGUAUCAAUCUGAUGACACAAAGUUGUUUAAAGCUCUAUGUGAUUGUCUCACACCUGACGAAUUUGAGGAUCUGAAGGCGUCGAAGUUAGGAGUGUUCAUCAAAUUCAAGGAGCUUGACUUUGGUUGGACUUCAAGGCUGGUACAUUUUUUGCUCUGUUUCCAGCUAGACAUCAAGAAGAAGUUUGAGCUCUGGAGUCUUGUCGUUUCACAACCUGUGAGGUUUUCACUGAUAGAGUUUGAACACCUCACUGGGCUGAACUGCGAUUACAUCAAGGACCUGGAAAAUCCAAGAUGUGAGGUUACAACGGAGAUGGCUGCUUUCUGGGAGAAGAUGCAUGUUGAUAUCGAUACUGGGCCAAGUAUUGAACAGAUAACAGAAGCAUUUUACAACUGCGACGAGUGGUCUCGGGAUGAUCGCAUGCGGCUGGGAUACCUUGCCAUCUACGCAGGAUAUAUCGAAGGGAAAAAGUUCUCAUCCGCUACAUCAGCUAGUCUUGCAAGGCUAGUGAUGGAUUUAGAAAAAAUUGAGAAUUAUCCAUGGGGGAGAGUGGCGUUUAAGGUGCUGAUGGAUUCUCUGAAGGCAAACGACUUGACGCAAACUGGUUACACUGUUGAUGGGUUCAUACAAGUGCUCCAAGUGUUGGCGUACUAUGCUAUGCCAGAAUUGGGUGCUAAUUAUGGGUCUCCCAUACCAAACAGACCGUCUCCACUGUUGCUGGCUUACAAGGGUGGCAAAAGACAACGCAAAUGUUUUAAGGCUGCUAUCAAUAAACAGGUACUUAACUUCACUCCUAAGACUUCUCAGACGACUUAAAGUUAAGUCGUGUGGAAGUCUUCCAACAAAAGACCACGCAGACGACUUACUUUUAAGUCGUCUGAGUGGUCUUUUUGUUGGAAGACUUUCAGACGACUUAACUUUAAGUCGUCUGUGAACAAAAUACUUCUCAGACGACUUAACUUUAAGUAGUCUGUGAACAAAAUACUUCUCAGACGACUUAACUUUAAGUAGUCUGAGAACAAAAUACUUCUCAGACGACUUAACUAAGUUUAUAUCUUUUAUUUAUUGCAGACUAUCGUGAAGAACUUCGUUCAGAAGGAUUUUGAUGAAAUGUUUCCAAAAUGGGACGGAGACAUAGAUGACCCUGCCGCGGAUAACAUAAUUAAAGUCAUGUUUAAUGAUCCUGGAUGGGAGUGGACCAUGGAAUGCUGGCCAGUCACCGGUACUCGCAAGGUUGUGAAGAUGGAAGUGAUUCCAGUGAAGAAUGAAGUGAGUCCCGUGAAGUCAGAGAGUGUUGUGAAGGAAGAAAGUAGCAGACCUCGGAAGAAAGCUCGUAAAGGGUCUUCUGUUUCUGCUGAGACACCUGCGGCGGGUAGUGAAGGGAUGACGCAUCAGCAGAUUGAAAAGUCCUUGAAGGACAUAUCUGAUACCAUUAAUCUUGGCUUUGGGACGUGCCUUAAGGAGCUCAAGUUACUGGCGGAUAGGAUGGUAGCUGUGGAGAAGAAGGUGGGAAUCACCAACAGAGGGGGUUUAUCUGAUGAUCGUCAACUUACAACCACUUCAAAUCCACCAAAACUUGUUGACGAACCCGGGGUUAGUACCAAAACCUCUCCCAAAAUUGCAGAGAAGAGAGUCACUAGGCAAAGUGUUAGGAAGAGUCAGGACUGAUGUGAUUUGUUUCUUGUGUGCUUUGAUGAACAUGUGUGCUUUGUUUCUAGUGUGCUUUGAUGAACCACUGUAUGCCUUGAUUCUGAACAUGUGUGCUUUGUUUCUAGUGUGAAUUUGAUCUUUGCUGUAAGGGCUUUUGUUAAUAGUUUUUAAACACACUGUGAACUCGAAAUUGCAGAGUGAAAGCGUGAAUGGGGCGAAAGCAGGACAGAAGGAAGCCAAAGAACCGAGUUCCUCGAGAGAGCUCUGUCUUGUGAGUCCUGCAGACGACUUACCGAGUGAUGAUCCUAGCCUUCUUAUAUUGGACAAACAAGUUUCGACCGCUUCAGAUUUACUCGUUGAAGAAGCUAGAAGGCAGACAAAGAAGGAGACUGCUUUGGUGAAUCUCCGUAAAAAAAGUGUGCGAGAAAGGAAGCUUGCUCCCACACAGCAAACUCCUUUUAAGGGAAACAGCACUGCCAAACAGAUCAUUCCAAACAAACAGGUUGGCGGAGGCUAUGAUCCUUUUGCACCCAUUGACAAGAUGAAGUCGAAGGAGCUCACUGCAUGGGUGCAAAAAGAUCCGUAAGUUGCUGUUAAAAAUAUGCUUACUUAUAUUUGAUUAAAAAAAGCUUCUAUUUGAUUAUUUACAUUUUGUGUUUGCAGUUCUUAUAAACUGCCUCUGAAAAAAAAACCACGUAGAUGUCGAAGUCGAUUCUAUCAGGUCCUCCGAACCCCCUUAGAAUGGCUAACCGACCAUGUAAGUCUUCUGCUAUUUUCUAACUCUUAUAUAAGUCGUCUGGUAGUUAUCUGGUACUUUUCUGAUUUGUAUAAGUCGUAUGUGAGUCGUCUGUGAGUCGUCUAUAAGUCGUCUGGUAGUUAUCUUAUGUAAGUCGUCUGUAAGUCGUCUGUAAGUCGUCUCUAAGUCGUCUCUAAGUCGUCUGUAAGUCGUCUGGUAGUUAUCUUACGUAAGUCGUCUGUAAGUCGUCUCUAAGUCUUCUCUAAGUCGUCUCUAAGUCGUCUGUAAGUCGUCUGGUAGUUAUCUUACGUAAGUCGUUUGUAAGUCGUCUGUAAGUCUUCUCUAAGUCGUCUCUAAGUCGUCUCUAAGUCGUCUGUAAGUCGUCUGGUAGUUAUCUUACGUAAGUCGUCUGUAAGUCGUCUCUAAGUCUUCUCUAAGUCGUCUCUAAGUCGUCUGUAAGUCGUCUGUAAGUCGUCUGUAAGUUUUUUUGACUUGUAUUGUUUUAUAUGCAGCAAAUGGAUGCUUUUAUUAAUAUACUGAGGCAACGGUACCAAAACCAUCCAGAACAUUUCAGGAGCGACAGAAUGUGCUUUCUUGAUCAUGUCUUUUCUCGGCAGUGGAGGGCCUCCUACCCUGAUUUUAAGAGCGACGCUCCUGAUGCCAACGGUUUAGGAAGAAGACUCCCUGGUGGGGCGUGGAAUUAUCAUGCAGGCGUGAUACCUUCUUUUUGCCAAUCUAAGAAGGUUUGGGGGGGUGGAUGUGGAUGAUAUCUAUGCACCUGUGAACUUCAAGAACCAGCAUUGGAUUGCUAUAUGGAUAUCGAUCCCUAAGAGGCACAUCGUCGUCUGGGACAGCAUUGUCUCUCAUAUUAGCCCUGAAGAACUCGAUGAGGUAAUGGAGCCUUUUCUCACAAUGGUCCCUUAUCUGCUUGUUGAGUGCGCGCUCUCUGACGAACAAAAGGUUCAAUACACAUUGGAGCCAUACACAUAUGCGAGACAAACCGUUGGAGUACCUCAGUGCCGAGCUGGUGAUUGUGGCCCUUUCACUCUGAAGUACAUCGAAUGUCAUGCUCUUGGGAUAGAAUUUCCCACCGCGUUUGACAAAAAACACGGGAAGACCAUCAGGGAGAAGAUGGCGCUGGAUAUAUUUCGAGAGCUUUCUAUGUGCCAUGAAUGGGAAAACCAAGACAAUGAUGAGAACCUGGCAACGUAUGAUUAGAUAUUGGAUGUGUUAUUGUGUGCUGUUGCGAUUGUAUUUGAACUUGAUGCUUUUGUGUACUGUUGUUAGGUAGAUUAGGGGAUGUUAACAGGGUCAGGAUAGGAUGAUGUUUUUUUGUAACCUAUCCUCACACCAAACUAGAAUUCCGUAGGAAAUUAGUUUGGUAGUGCAGUAACCUUUCGGAAUAUGUAAUGUUUAACUUGUCUUUUUUAAAUUGCACUGUUGGAAUUAGUUUCGGAAUAUGUACUGCUUAACAUAGAAGGUCUACAAAGAAAAGUUCAUAAAACAUAUAAAUUCAUAACAUAGAGUCUACAGAGAAGUUCAUAAAACAUAGAAAAUCAUUGUGGACGACUACAGAGAAGUUCAUAAAACAUAGAAAAUCAUUGGACGACUUACUUAAAGGUCUUCUGGACGACUACAGAGAAGUUCAUAAAACAUAGAAAAUCAUUGGACGACUUACUUAAAGGUCUUCUGGACGACUAACCAGAAGAAAAUUCUAAUUAAGACGUUGGACGACUAACUUAAAGGUCUUCUGAACGACUAACCAGAAGAAAAUUCUAAUUAAGACGUUGGACGACUAACCAGAAGGUCUUCUGGACGACUUACCAGAAGAAAAUUCUAGUUAAGUGAUAUUACGUGUAUACGCACACCAAAUAACCUAAUGUGCACACUACCACAAUCGAAUGGUAUGUCGAUGUAGCACUUUAGGAUCGAAUCCACAGAGACCAACUAUUACACUUUAUCUUUAUGGGAUCAAUAUCAAGCUAAAACAAUAUGGGGGUUUUAAAGUUGAUUUCGUAACAAGCAAGUAAAAAGAUUAAUUAAAGAUUUCAGAUGAUUAAAAUGCUAGCCUAGGGUGGUUUGGUCGGGUGUUAAACAAGUGUGAGCCAAACAAUUAUUCAAGUUUAAUUAAGAGCAAGUCUAGAACUCGGAUCACUCAAGUAGAACAGCCCACUGUCGUGGAACUGCCCCCUAUGCUGAUCGAUCUUGAUACCUAAACUCUCGUUUGGAUCAAGAUGCGACAGCAAGCAAUAGAGAUCAAGUCCGAUAGGUUCACCAAACACCCUAAUAUCUACUUUCGCUGAUUAGGGAUGCUAGGCUCAUUCAUAACAGAUCUAGCAACCUAUUACACGGUUAAUGAACAGGUUAAACCUAGGAUCUAACAUUAAGCGGCCAGAUUAAUGCAAGCAUUAAGAACAGUUAUGAAUGAAGACAAUCAAUGGUUUCACUUAUCUAUGUUUAACUCACGGAUCUAACACCCGAACACCCUAGACUAAGCAAGUUGACUACUCAGCCAUGAACAGAGAAAACACAGAGAUCAAUUCUGAAUAAGACUUCAUGUAAAUAAAAGAGAUAGAAAGAGGGUUCAGGAUAAUCUUCUCUAUGGUGAGAGAGAUGGAGCCUUCUCCCUUUACAAUCCAAAAGCACAAAAGUCUCCAAUGGUUUUCUUCUGUCUAGAAUAGCGUAGAAUGAUAAAGAGAAACAGAAAAUAUGAUAUAUCAAAGCCACAGGCGGCUGGGAGAGAAAAUAUGGAUAAUUAGGGCAAAUCCCGUAAUGAUUGUAGUUUCCUAAAAAAUCUCUGCCGCUGGAACACUCACUCGGAACAGUCAUCAAGACUGUUCUGCGUGAAAACCACCAAAUUGCAUUGUUUUCUGCCUCUUUUGUUCCAGCUGAUCCAUCUCCCAUCCAAUGCAACUCCAGACCUGUAAUGACUCCAAAAGGACUAGGAAGACUCGAUAAAGACUUGAAAACCAAUUUAAAAGCAUAUAUACAAGAUGUAUAAAACACCAUAUAUCAAUUCCCCCAGACUUAGAUCCUUGUUUGUCCUCAAACAAUGUCAAGUAUCAAGAACAGGGAGAAAGGUUUGAAAGUGUGGGAACUCUCCUAUUCUCAGCAACCAUACUUUAACCACGAAUCUCUGAACCAUACAAGCAGUAAAACUAGGACAACACACCCUUACCGGAACCCCACUGACUGCUGUUCAAAAAUCGGCUCCAUACUCUUCAUCUCAAACCUGAAAAAGCAACACUAUCGAGACAGAACUCCCUACAUUCAUUUAAGAGUAGCGUGAGCUUCUCAUCACAGGCAUCAUUCAGGGUAGACGGUCUAGGUGUGGAACAGGCUAUUUAAUGGUGGAGUUAAGAGUGUUUAGGGGCUACCAUUUCAUUGAAGAGGAUGCAGGAUAUCACACAAAAUGGCAAGAGAGGAUAGAUCCAUUGAUGUCCACAGCCUCUACUCGUUUUUGCUCUAUCUGGUGCGACUGUUCUGAUGACGGAACAGGCAACUGAUUGUUCUGCUUUCCACUUUCCUCUACACACUCUUCAAUACUUGGUACCAACUUCUUGCUCGACCUUUCCAGUGGCUCCAUGUUUCUUUUCUUUCUUCCCCUUCUCCAUCACAUUAAUCUCGUUUUUUUUUUUUUUUUUUUUUUUUUGAAGACUGAUAUGGUGAUGUGACGAAGAAGGAGGUAACACAUGAUCGUUCUGAGUGCCACUGGUGGUUCUGAUUUCGCGACCAUUCUGGUUCUCCACCCCUGCUCUUGCGCAGUUCAUUGGUUAUGGAGCGGUUGCUCCCUUAAUCUGCUUGUUCUCCUUUCUGACAUAAUUUCUGCAGCAGUAACGAGUAGGAGGCUGCGUUGAUCCUUUCCUCUCCGACCUUUUUGCACAUAUCUGCACAUAUGACACUGAAAAACAAAUGCAUGAAGGUGGAAUAAAGGCUAAGGUGCAGGGUGGGAACUAGCUAAAGAUGAGCUAGCCACUCAGGAUCAGCAAGAUGGAUAAAAAGGAUAAGAAGUCCUGAGUGUGUUCUCGUUUCCCUGAUCUAAUGCCCAUAACAAGAAGAAUUUCAGUCAAGAUUAGGUUCAAGUAAGGUGGAGUUAAGUCUACCCAGUGUAACCUGAUCGGCUGAGAACUUCUGGAGAAUCAAGUGAGAUAUGUCAGGGUGUUCCAGGUCCACAUGUGUGUCUUUCGCCACUGCUAAGGUCACUGAAUAAGAUAACUAAAGCACGAGGUGGUUAGUGAUCAACACGGAAUAAGGUCCUAAUUCCCACAAAAUUUUGACUGACUCAAUAAAAACUGACUCGAAUUGACCCAAAAGAAAAACAAAAGAAAGAAACGAGUUAGUAAACGACGAAAACCCUCCCCCAGACUUACUUCACAACGUCCCUGGUGUGAAAAUAAAUCAGAGAGAAGGUGAAAUCAAGAAUAAACAUUUUUUUUUUUGUUCGAGAUACUUACCUGGCGCGGAGCAGCCUGACAGAGCAAGACGCGGUUGCUCCGGUAAAGGAUGCUAUGGAAUGAGAACAGCCAGCUGCUUGCUCCAGUCAAGGGUCUCGGAUUUUCUGAUUUGUGACCUGAGACUCAACAAACUAAAAACAAAAAUAAGUAAAAAGAAAAUCCUAAUGUUAAUGACACUCACCAGUGGGUUGCCUCCCACCAAGCGCUUGGUUUAAGUCUCUAGCUUGACUUGGUGACUGGGAUCAGUCGGGUUGAGCAGGAGGGCUUGUUCCAAAACAAGCUCCACAAUCAGACAUGUUCAGCUUCAAAACUCUGCUCAACAACCCUUUCACAGCAGCUUUCCCUUUCUCCUUCAGCUCAUGUGUGAGAAUAGCUCUGACUUUAGAGAAAGGUUUAGAGGUACCCUUGCACUUUACCUCAUACUCAAUGGAGUUCUCAUCACACUUGAGAGGUAUCAAAGUCAUUGUAGGAUCUCCCUUGAUCCUUUUCUUCUGGACUUUCUGUUUCACCCUUGAAUUCCCUCUGAAUUUAGUAGGAUCAGUGCUAGGAUCUUCAUCAGAGAACAGCCUGCUCUCACCCUUAUCACCAUGCUCCUUCUCUGGAACAACCUUCAGCUUUUCUACAUCAAACACUGAGAUGCGAGAGGCGUGUGAUGAGGAAGAUCUGGUGGGUACAGCCUUGUAGAAAACUUUCUUGUUGAUGUUGGAGAAGCAGACUCUCUUGUUGGGCAUAUCGAUGGUUGCUCCAACAGUAGCCAUGAAUGUCCUUCCAAAUAUCAAAGGCAUCUCAUGAUCCUUGUUCAUCUCAACAACUUGAAACUCAGCAGGAACAAUGCAUUCCCCUACUUGAACAUGAAGGCUGCGGAUGGUUCCAUAUGGGACUGCUCUGGAAGAGUUUGCAAAGGUCAGGGUCAGCUGAGAACGCUCAACAUCAGCAAUACCCAAAUCGUCUACAAUAGCCUUUGAGACGAGAUUCACACAAGAACCAGAGUCACACAGAGCAUCCUUGAAGGUUGUUCCUGCGAUGGAGCAUGGGAAAACAAACUUUCCAGGAUCAUCAACCUUAGGCAAUACCUUCAAUGCUGGUGUAGACAGUGCUUUGAUAUAGAGGACCUUGAUCUCCUCUUGAGUCUCUCUACAGUGUUUAAAGAACUGGAGCAAUGGACGAAUCUGCAGAGCAUCUUCGAAUGCAAGUUCUUUAGGAAGCCUUCUCACCAUCUUGUUAAAACCUAUCAGCUGCUCUUCACUAAUGGGAUCCAUCAGAUGUCUAGGUGGAAUUGGAUAGGGAACCUUGGGAACAUAGACUCGAGAUGGUGGAGUCUCAGCAGGUUCGCUAGGAGCAGUCACUCCAGAGCUAGCAGACUGCUCUGCUCUCUCUUCUGCGCCUGAAGCAGUCUCAGCAAACGGCUGCUCUAUUGCAUUACAGUGCUCAGUCCUAGGAUUUUUAUCAGUUCUUCCAGGAAGCGUCUCUUGUUGCCUCUUGACACUCUCAACUGUUUGAGCAAGCUGAACAUCGAUCUUUCUUAUAUGGAUCGCAAGAUUGUCAUACUUGUUAUUCAGCUCAGUGAACAUGUUGCCCAUCCUGGUGUCUAUUUCCGUGGUUACCUGAUUCAACGCCUUGGCCUGAACCUGCUGACCCUGCAACAGCUGUUGCAUCAUCAUACCCAGACCCUUCAGCUCAUCUGGUUGACUGUUCCCGGUAGCUGGAACAGCAUGCGGAUUGCUCUGCGGUUGUCGCUGGUUCUGGUUCUGAAUAUGCCCGGCCGUAGGUUGUUCCAUGCUGAAAACGUGCCCUUGGUUGUUUUUCAGUAGCUGAUCAACCUUGGCAGUCAGCUCAUCUAUUUUCUGGGCGUCAGAACUGUUUCCUUUCUUGGAGCAAUCACUCUCCUCUUUCUUAUUAGCUGAGCUAGCAGCCAUGUUCUCAAUCAGCUUAAACGCUCCAGCUGUGGUUUGAGUCAUGAAAUCUCCAUUGCUCGCAGAGUUUAGAGCACCUUGGUAUUUCCAGUCCACUCCAUCAUAGAAAAUGUCCAGGAUAUAAUCAUCAUCAAAUCCAUGGUGAGGACAUUCUCUGCGAUAGUCAUUGAAGCGCUCCCAUGCGUCGCAGAAAGCUCAUCAGUGAGCUGUCUGAAGGAGGUGAUCUUGUUCCUCAAUGCAGCUGUUCUCGCCUUAGAGUAGAAAUGGCUGAGGAACGCUGAUCGGACCUGUUCCCAUGAAGUGAGAGAGCCGGUAGGGAGAGAGUUCAACCACCGUGCAGCUUUUCCAUCAAGAGAGAAUGGGAAUAACAUGCACGUGAUGUAGUCUGGUGGAACACCAUUCACGCGAGUGAAACUGCAGACUUUUUCGAAGCUCUCAAUAUGCUCCAUUGGAAUUUCUGUAGAGAGACCAGAGAACACCUUUCUCUGUACUAGACCAAUCAAAGCAGGCUUGAUCUCGAAGUCCUGCCUGGUGCAAGGUGGAGGAACAAUGGCAGAGCGCGUAGUAGGGAUGUUACGCGGAAGGUUUCUCUGCCCGAUUGGAACAGUCUGCGCCUGUUGUUCCUGCUGCGCGAGAGCAGCCUGUUCAGCAGCAUCCUGCUGAGCUUGGAUGGUCUGCUGCAUUUGUUGCAUCUGCUGCUGCAUGUGCAACUGAGCAGCGAGAUCUCCUGAUUGGCGUGAUCACCCAUAGUGGUGUCAGUUUGCCUUGGCUGUUGACGAUUUGUUCUUUCUAACCUUGCUAGCUCCUGGUUGGUAAAUGUAACUAACUCUCCUUGUGCGUUUCUCCGAGUAUGUCUACUGGUCAUGCACCUGGAACAUUAGCUGCAACAAAAAGGAUAAGGCAAGUUAGAGGUCUUAGACUAAAUAAAUAACCGAAAAAUAAAGGUAAAAAGAUGGUCCCCGGCAACGGCGCCAAUUUGAUAUUACGUGUAUACGCACACCAAAUAACCUAAUGUGCACACUACCACAAUCGAAUGGUAUGUCGAUGUAGCACUUUAGGAUCGAAUCCACAGAGACCAACUAUUACACUUUAUCUUUAUGGGAUCAAUAUCAAGCUAAAACAAUAUGGGGGUUUUAAAGUUGAUUUCGUAACAAGCAAGUAAAAAGAUUAAUUAAAGAUUUCAGAUGAUUAAAAUGCUAGCCUAGGGUGGUUUGGUCGGGUGUUAAACAAGUGUGAGCCAAACAAUUAUUCAAGUUUAAUUAAGAGCAAGUCUAGAACUCGGAUCACUCAAGUAGAACAGCCCACUGUCGUGGUACUGCUCCCUAUGCUGAUCGAUCUUGAUACCUAAACUCUCGUUUGGAUCAAGAUGCGACAGCAAGCAAUAGAGAUCAAGUCCGAUAGGUUCACCAAACACCCUAAUAUCUACUUUCGCUGAUUAGGGAUGCUAGGCUCAUUCAUAACAGAUCUAGCAACCUAUUACACGGUUAAUGAACAGGUUAAACCUAGGAUCUAACAUUAAGCGGCCAGAUUAAUGCAAGCAUUAAGAACAGUUAUGAAUGAAGACAAUCAAUGGUUUCACUUAUCUAUGUUUAACUCACGGAUCUAACACCCGAACACCCUAGACUAAACAAGUUGACUACUCAGCCAUGAACAGAGAAAACACAGAGAUCAAUUCUGAAUAAGACUUCAUGUAAAUAAAAGAGAUAGAAAGAGGGUUCAGGAUAAUCUUCUCUAUGGUGAGAGAGAUGGAGCUUUCUCCCUUUACAAUCCAAAAGCACAAAAGUCUCCAAUGGUUUUCUUCUGUCUAGAAUAGCGUAGUAUGAUAAAGAGAAACAGAAAAUAUGAUAUAUCAAAGCCACAGGCGGCUGGGAGAGAAAAUAUGGAUAACUAGGGCAAAUCCCGUAAUGAUUGUAGUUUCCUAAAAAAUCUCUGCCGCUGGAACACUCACUCGGAACAGUCAUCAAGACUGUUCUGCGUGAAAACCACCAAAUUGCAUUGUUUUCUGCCUCUUUUGUUCCAGCUGAUCCAUCUCCCAUCAAAUGCAACUCCAGACCUGUAAUGACUCCAAAAGGACUAGGAAGACUCGAUAAAGACUUGAAAACUAAUUUAAAAGCAUAUAUACAAGAUGUAUAAAACACCAUAUAUCAUUAAGACGUUGGACGACUUACUUAAAGGUCUUCUGGACGACUUACUUAAAGGUCUUCCACGUCAGUUCUUACAUUGUGGACGCUUAUGGCCAGUUUCUUUGCAGACUGAGCACCUAUAAACCAUGUGUUGCUUCCGGGGUUUGCGUCCUCUCAUCCUGGAUAGCUCCAACCAAGAUUGCCAUCUUGAUUUCUUCUGUCUCCCCGGACCACGCUUUACUUCCGGAGGAAAGGAUGUGCUUGCCUCAACAAGUUGUCCAACACAAGGAUAUAUAUUCUCUGAGUAUCCUGCAAACAAAGUAUCCUUUGAGUAGACCGGCCACACAAGUGUGGAGAUAUGCACACCAGCUGCUGUUCCAGCUGCUAUAGCAUGAGAGCAAGGUAUUUUCUCGACUUGAUAGACACCACAAUCGCACUUUUGAAGUUCCAGAUCAACAUUACAGUCCCUAUUGCCACCUUUCACAAAGAACUUCCAUCCAUCAAUUUGUUGGACUCUCAGAGUAUACGCGUUCUCCUCUCGGACAGCAAGCAAGUGUUCAACACCCCGACUAUGUUGAGUUGUAAGACUCAAAGCAUCUCCUCUCCUUUUCCAGUACCACCUUCCUAGCUUCUCCCUUAUGAACUCCAGCAGGAACUGAAUAGGAAAUCCUCUUGCUCGCUUCAGUGCGGAGUUAAUUGAUUCAGCGAUAUUGCUCGUUUUUAAGUUGUACCUGUCUCCCUAACAAUGAACCCUAGACCAUAGGGUCACAUCGGCUUCCUCCAGAUACUCAGCAAGAUCCGGAUUUGCACUUCGUAUCUCAUCCAUGUACCGAUCAAAAUCGUAAAGUGUAUGAGCAUAAGCAGCACCUUUCACUAAGUACAAGAGAUGCUUCCCUUUAUACUUUUUGACAAUAUUCUCUUGAAGGUGAUAAUAACAUAUUCCUCGGGUUGCCCAAGGAAACACCUUUUCACACGCAUUUAUAAUGGAGGCGUGCCUGUCGGAGACUAUCACCAGAGGAUACUCAUCAGAUACACAGCUCGCCAAUUUUGUGAAAAACCAUUCCCAAGAUUCAUCAUUCUCACCAUCUACGAUCCCAAAAGCCAAUGGAUAUAUCUGAAAAUUACCGUCUUGUGCGGCUGCAACCAACAUAGUACCCCCAUACUUCCCACUUAGGUGAGUCCCAUCUACCACAAUGACCCUUCUCUGAUACUUAAAUCUUCUGAUUGAAGCUCCAAAAGCAAGAAAUAGAUACUUAAAUCUAUUCAGAGAAUCAAGUUCUAUAGCUGUGAUAGAACCCGGAUUUGCUGCCUCGAUUUGCUCCAAAUAUGAAGGCAAUCGCUCAUACCCGUCUUCCGCUGAUCCUCUCACCAUUUCUUGCGCAUAUAACAAUGCUCUGUAUGAAGUGGUGUAAUCAAGUGUCAUGCCAAACAUGUUCUUCAUUGCAUCUUUGAUAUGCUGCGGAUUCAACCCAUCAAUGAUUCUAACUCGAUCUAUGAAAAGUCGACCAAUGUACUUCGGAGUACAACGUUUCCGCUGAGCGAUUCUGUCUGGGAUGGAACAUGUAUGAGUUGCCAAAUACUUGGUUACCCAAAACGUUUUAGUCCCAUGUUUCACACUUGCUCGGACCUUCCAUUGACAACCACUAACACGACAUGUUGCCACAAACAGAGUUUUCGUUGACUUGAAUAUUCUGAAGGAGAACCUACGCCUCACCGCUGUCGACCGCAACUCUGAAAGCAGUGCAUCCUUACUAGCAAAACUCUGGUUGACAUAGAUUCUGUCUGCAGAUGAUCCUUCUCCUUCACAACCAUAUGCCCCUUUGUAAUCAUCAAAACAGAUUUCAUCAUCUUCUUCCUCAUCCUCAUCUUUAACAUUUCCAUACUCACUAUAAUCCUCAGCAUCAGCGACAACAGGGAUGUCAGCAUCCUCCUCCCCAUCAUGAUCCUCAGCUUCAUCCCCCUCUUCAGCUUCAUGCCCCUCCUCAGCUUCUUCCCCCUCCUCAGCUUCAUCCCCCUCUUCAUCUUCAUCGCUUACAUCAGCUUCAUCCCUCUCCUCAGCUUCAUCCCCCUCCUCAGCUUCAUCCUCCACAUGAUCUUCAUCCCUUUCCUCUGAAACCGUUCUCAUCUUGCUAAAGCUUGAUACACAAAGACGUACUUCAUGCGUUUUAGUUAUCUCGAGCAAGUUCCGAACUUGUCUAUCACUUGUAACAUGAAUAGGAGGAAGGUCUGGAGCCAUCUGUUGUAAUGAGUAGAUUAGCUCCACAGACUCUGUGUUCAUGUCCAGGUUAUAAUCUUCUUGAGUCAUUGCAACAAGAUCAGCAUGUGUCGAACCUUCAUUCAAAAAUAACAUUCUCGCUCCUUUGAAAUGAUCAACCACAAAAUUCCAACAUCCAUCUUUCAACAACCAUUGUCCAUACACUGCAUGUAACUGACGCAUCAUCUGAAAAAGUCAAAAUAAAACACAUUAGCAAACUUAGAACAAAGAAAACAAAAGUUUAUUAAAGAUCGAAGCGGACGACUUCAAUCUAAGUUGUCUAGACUACUAAACUAUACGUCGUCUGGUCAACGCAGAGGUUAUUUUUGCAAUUGAAUUUGAAAUCUGGCUGUCGACGACUUACCUGGAAGUCGUCUGGCUGUAGACGACUUAACUUUCAGUCGUCUCAGGUUACAGAUUUCAAAGUCAAUUGCAAAAAUAACCUCUGCGUUGACCAGACGACUUCUAGGUAAGUCGUCUACAGCCAGACGACUUCCAGGUAAGUCGUCGACAGCCAGACGACUUCCCAAGUAAGUCGUCUGACGAACAGAUCUGGAAAAAAACUCGAUUUCAUACCUUAAAUUGGUGAGAUAAGUUCCUUAGCAUACAUAAGGCUUCUCCAAGCACACAGAAUCACAAACGAAAGUGACCCACCCUGAAUCGUUAGCUUCUAUGACUCUAUGAACCAUAAAAAUUUUAGAAUCAAAAUCUUGGGUUUUCUUAGCUCAUUGUGGAGAGAAAGUGAAAGAUAUGUUGUGUUUAGUUCACAAGAAUGAAAAAAGAAGAAGGGUAAAUCGAUUUUGGGAGCAUUAAGAGCUUCAAAUUGGUUGUUCAUGGUGGUUGUGGUAUUGAUGACAAUGGCAAUCUUGUAAUUACUUGAAGAUGAUGAGGGUGAGAGAGUAAAAAUGUCAUUUUCGAAAAGAAAAAAAAAAUUGAUGGCAUUUUCGUAAAUUAUAUGAACUUGUGGAGUGAAUACGGCAAAACUAAUUUCAAAAAAAAAGGGAGGUUAGUUUUGUGUUUGACUUUAAGUUGUAGGUCAAUUUUGCAAAAACCCCUAUGAAUUUCUAUGAAUAGGUCUAUUAGGUUCAUUUUUAAAAAAAUCACAAAUGAAUCAAGGUUGUGACUUCUGUUUUAAUAUAUAAGAUAUAGGAAAGUUGUUUCUUUAUUUAGUCGCUCUUUUUUUAUUGGAUAAUCGACUAAUCGUUUUCGCUAAUUAAAACAGCCUAUAGGCUUCUCAUUACGCUAUAUAUUUGAACAACAUUGUCGGCAUAUUAUAAUUCUAUUACGUCUAACCUAUUUUAAAAAAUGAUAUAGUACUAUACUAUAUAACAAAAUCUCAUCGUUAUUAUCAUUAUCGUACAUCCGUCGUUAUUCAUUCGUGCUAUAUAAUACGGCUAUCGCACCAAGCAGGCAACGUGAUAUGAAAUAUAUUAACAUUUUGGUUAGGAAUAACGUAACAGAAAAAUAUGUCGUCAGCUAUGUGACGAUUAAGUAAAGUGAGGCACUUAUUUACUAAUUUAAUGAAAGAAUAUACACAGUAGAUUAGGCCAAUUUCGUCAACUUGUUGGGAAAGUAGCCAACAAACCCAAUACAAAACUAAAUUCUACUAGUUAGUUUCUUGGUAAAACUCAACUAAUCGUAACUUUACGCUGUUUUAUUAUUUUUUCCUAAAUCAUGAUAAUAUCGAAUAUGAUUAAAUCAUUUAGUUAUUAAAAAUAUUAAAUCAUGUUAAUAAAGUAAGUAUAUUAGUAUACUAUAUAUAUAUUUUUUAUUUUAGUUAGGAAAGAAAUGCUAAGCCACAGAAUCUAAUAUGUUUCCUAAAUCAACGGUCAUGAUUGAUUAAGAAUAGUCUUCCUUUUGACCAAGUCUAAUCACUAAACCUAAAUAAAUAAACAACAAACGAAGGCAAAUGCUGUUUUGUUACUUAUUACAAUCUCACACAGCCUUGAGACACAACACAAAAUGGCUAACUCAAACGAUUGGUCUCACCUCUACAGCAACAACCAAGCCUUCUACACAACUUCCACCAUCACUUCAACCGCCGUCACAACCACCACAGCAGCUUCUCCCUCCGGUGAAGCCACCUCCAUGGACUCUCGUCUUAGUCCAGAAACAGGCCGUGUAACCAAACCGGCACGUAGAAGAUCAAGAGCCUCACGUAGAACACCAACAACACUUCUCAACACGGACACAUCAAACUUCCGCGCCAUGGUUCAGCAGUUCACGGGCGGUCCAUCCGCUAUGUCUUUCGGGUCAGGUAAUACCACUUCCGGUUUUAGCCUCACCUCUUCGUCGGAUCCAUCCGCCGGAUCUUCCCAACAAGUUCCUUGGCAAUAUAGUUACCAGCCUCACGCGCCGCCUCCACCGCAACAGCCUUAUAUGUUCUCGUUAAACAACAUGAAUCCCGUCGUUGGGUAUAGUAACAUGAACAACCCUAAUACGAUGGUUCCUGGUGGUUUUGGAACCGCGGGCGGUGGAGGAGGAGGUUCUGCUCCGUCGUAUAAGGAAGCCACGAAUAGUAAUACGUCGUCUUCGAGACUGCAAUGAGAAAACGAUUGGAUUCUUUUGAAAUAUUUUUUUCUCCUUUUUCGCAUAAAGGCAGAAAUGUUAGGUACUGACUUUCUUUUGUCAUAGAAUGACAACUUUGACUGUUGUAUAUUUAAGUUUUUCGUUUUCAUAUUCAAGCUUUUUAUCUUUGUUUUAGGCGUUGAGCAUUUGUUUACAGCGUUAUCACUUAUCAUGGUCCUAAAUAAGCAAAUAUUCAAUGACUGAAGUUGCACACUUGCUUGCAUUCAAAAGAAAAACUCCAGUUUGGCAGUAAGCAAAAUAAAAUAACGUCUCCAAAUAAAUCUAUAUGUUUUUACGAGAAUACAUUAUCUGUUAUACUCCCUCUGUUUCAAAAUACAUGAAGUUUUAAGAUUAUACACAACUAUUAAAAAACUUGUUUUUUAUUUUAAAAAUAUCAUUAAAAUAUAAAUUAAAAAUUAUUUAACCAAUCACAAAACAGACUACAAAAUAUCAUUAGCUACACAGUUUUUGAUAAAGUGAAAAAAUACAUUGAUAUAUGAAAACAUCAUCUAUUUUGAAACAUCAAAAACUACCUAAAACAUCAUCUAUUUUGAAACGGAUGGAGAAUAAAUUAUUAUGGCAUCCAUAUUUUCUACUAGACUUAGGUAAACUAAAGCAAUGUUCUCGAACACUAAUAUAUCACGUAUAUAUAUUAUAUAUAUUAACGCUCUAUAUAUGUUAAAAACAUACUUUCACGUAAAGUUCUGAACUACAUGUGAAAAAUUGAAAUUUCUUCAAUAUUAUUCAAAUUAAUAGUAGUAUAUAUGUAUAACGUGCAUGUAAUGGAGGAAAUGUGAGAGAAAUAGCUUACAUCCAAUUUCUGUAUUCAUUUAUUGUAGGCAUUCAAACAUGAAAAUUAGUUAGUGUGAAUGUAGUUUUAUCUGCUUUGCCAAAUUAGCUCGAUAAAAUGCAAAAUAUGAAUAUAACUUUAUAUAACUUAUUUUAUAAAAUGUGCAUGGAAUGGAGGAUGCCUACAAUAAAUGAAUACAGAAAUUGGAUGGAGAAUGCCUACAAUAUAUGAUCCACUUAAGCUACAUUCAUUUACUUACACCCCAACGAUUGUAUUCUUAUUCGAUAAAACUGUAACUGUAAGUGAAUGUUCUUUUACCAAAUUGUAGCGAUAAUAUAGAAUAUGAAUAUAAGUUAAAACUUUAUAGUUUGCUUCUUUUUAUGGCACAAUAUAUUUUCUAUUGUCAUAUAACUUGUAGACGGAAAACGAUGACUAUCCUUUUCCAGUUCACAAUUUGAUUACUUUUUUCUUUGUCUUCAAUCACUAACUUUAUAAGAUUGUUGAAAUAUAUUUGAAGGAGAAUUUUCGCCAAGACCAGAAUAAUCUUUUAACAUUAAAAUAUGGUGAUGAUUAAUUGGAUCAUAUAGAAAUUAAACUUGCUUUUCGUUGGAAACAGAGGAAGCUUUUGGGUGAAGGUAGGCUACCAACAUUAACACACCUAGAUUCUUACGUUAUCGUUUAUUUUUCCUCUUUUAAUUUCUUCCCGCUCAUAUUAAUUAUGAUUUAGACUGAAAGUGAGAUGGAUCUUUUGAUUUAGAUCGAUGUUUUUGUUAAUAUAGAGUUUGGCCAAUAUACCAAAGCCAAACUCUAUACUUAUAGAAUGUCUUUAGUUUUUUUUCUUAGUCUUUUGCAUUUUUAAUAGAUUUUAGAUUCUUAAGAUAAAUCCAUAAAUUAAUAAGAGAAUAUUUCUAUCAUGUUGUAGACGUGUUUAUAUUUGACAAAUAAAAUAAUAUAAAAGGAAUUAACAAUGAAGAAUCUUAUUAAAAAAAAAGUAACAUCGACGAAGUGACAAAAAAAUUGAGUGAUAAAGGGGUUGUGAAGAGGGGAUGUAUCUAAUACGCAUUGUGGGUCCCUUAACCUCAAGUGAAAUUUCCUUUUCUUAACUGAAUUUGAAUUCAUUCAUCAAUUAUUAUACUAUACAACUAGGCAAUAAUCCGCACCUUGCGCGAAAUAUGAUUAUUAGUUUCGUUAUUUUUUAAUAAAGAGACAUUAAUCUAUUUAAUUUGAAUAUCGGUUCGGUUUUAGGUUGAUUUUUGGUUUUUAAUCUCCUAAAAUAUAACUAUCAUUUUAAAUCAAUAUUUAUUUUGUUUGUUCGGUUAAAAUGUUUGAUGUUUUUGGUUUUUUUUUCAUGUGAUAAUUAAAAAUUACUAUUAUUUGUUUGUUUUCAUGUUAUGAAACUUAGAUAGUCGUGAUGUCGAAUCAAUGGUUUCAUAUUAUAGUUUCUAAAUAGAUAAUAGUUCAAAAAGAAAAGAAAAUUGUUAAGACAAAUCAUUUUACUACAAUUUGGUCGAUAGGGAAAGAAGCCUUAAGAAAAAGAAUAUUUUAACUUCAAAAAAAAUUUAGAUAUUUCAGUUGUGGUAAAUAUUUAGUUAUAAAGUGCUCACGUCAAUGUGUCCAUGUAUGUGUAUGUAAAGGUAUAUAAAGAUGGUUGUUAAAUAUAUAAAGAUAAUGUUAAUUAAUAUUAAAUGAUAUUUUUUCAAAAUAAUACAUGAAAAAUAAAAUUCUUAAAAUGAAUUUAUUUAAAAAUAAAAAUACUGUAAAAUUUAUAUAAACUAUAAUAUAUAACUUAUAUAUAAUUCUUUAAAUAUAUGUAUAUAUAUAUAUAUGCAUAUAACAGAUCAAAUUAGAUAUUCGUUCCUAUAAAUACUGAUAUUUGUGGUUUGCUCUUUUUUUUACUGAUAUUGCAUUUUAGUAUUUAAUUUGCUUCGUACAGUAACGAAUAUCCAGAUUUUUCGGUUCAAAUCAAAAUUUUAUGAAUAAUUGUCUAGCUGUAUUCGUAAACAGUAAAAAUAACGUAAAGAAGAACCAUGCAUGUGAGUUUUAUAUUAAAAAAAUGUAAAGUACAUAGUGUGAACAUAUUUAUGUAGUGUUUGGCUGAGAAACUCUGUACAUGUAAUAUGUGUCCAUUUUAGUGUGAACACAUUUAUUACAAUGCUUCUACACGUGACAUGUGUCCAGUUUAGUGUAAAUGCAUUUAUUACAAUGCUUCUCUUUUAAUAUAUAACGGAUUAUACAAAACAUCUUAUUACGAUCCUCAAUCUUAUACUUUGGUAGAUUUUGAUGUUAUUUAUGAUUAAAUUAGCCAUCUUCUUUCAUACAUACUUAAAUAAAUGCGAUAAUCAAUUCUUUUGAACAAGUAGAUAUAAAGGGUGAUUUUAAAACACAAGAGGAAGCAUUUUUUUUUUGUCAUCAAACAAACAAACUCAUAUUAACUAUGUGAACCAAACUGGUAGCUCUGCAUCCAUGUGAACGACGAAAGACGAUUGUUUUCUUGCACUCUGUACUAGAUUAUCCGUCUUUUGAUUCUCCGUUCGGGGUACAUGAAUGAUCUCUGAGCUGAAGAAACAUGUCUUCAGCAUCUUUAUAUCUUCUAGAUAAUUUUCAAACGCCAGCUAUUCUUUUGGUUCCGAAACCAUCUUCACCAAUUGAGAACAAUCCAUAGCAAAUGUGACAUAAUAUUGAUGUAAAUUUCUCAUACACUCCAUCACCCAUAUUAACGCUUCCAUCUCCGAAUGGAGAGGUGAAAGACUUGCCCGAAUAUUCCUUGCACCCAACAAACCAUCAAAUCCCUCAAGAAUAUUAUACCAACCCUCGUCUGAAUAAUACUCUUUAUCUUUCCAAAAACCAUCUAUAAAGCACCAAGGACCUGUCCUCCUCGGACAGUGCCUAACCUCAACUUGUUGUGAUGGCUGCUGAAUAUUCUUCACCUGAGCCUCAGCCCAAAGUUUGGAUUCGGUCUCCGCAAGAUUAAGUGUAUCUCGUGGGUCCAUAUCCAAAUUACUAAAAACUUUGUUAUUCCUACCUUUUCAAAUGUACCAUAAUAUCCAUACAAAAUGAUGAUCUUCCCUCUCCGGGAUAACCCUCCAGAAAAAAUGAUCCAAAUUUAUGAAGAUAGAACUAGUAGGGAAAAGAUCUAGGUUUGACAGUAUCUUUGACAACGCCCAAACUUGACGCAUAGGAGGACAUUAAAAAAAUACAUUAUUUAUUGAUUCCUCAUCAGCUCCACAUCGAGCACAACAUAUAUCUCCUUGAAUUCUUCUCGCUUGCAAAUUCUUUUUUCACAGCCAUACAUCCUGAUACCAUCUAUCAUAGAAAAUGAUUUAUUUUCGGAGGGUAUCUCAAUCUCACCUUCCAACAAAACGCUUUUAAAAUAUCCACUGUAGGACCAUAGACCUACGGUGGUUUUGCCUUAUCCGGAUAGACCCGUUCUAGCUGGUAUCUUGAUUUAACCGAGUAUUUCCUAUUAGUUGUGAAAUGUCAUCCAUCACUAUCCAUCAUCUGGUUUCUACUCAGGAGUAUAAUUUUAAUAAUUUUAGCAUUUUAGGAGUCCACCAGAGCCCAAAUUUUUUGCGUAUUCCAAGUUAGUAAAACUGGAUCAAUGAAAAAGUCUACAAUAGGUAGCAUUGAAUUGGAAUAAACUAUCUACUAUUCUUUCACCUAACAGUUUUUUGUAGUAAUAUAGUUUAGAAAUGUAUUUAAUUGUAUAUAAAUAUAAAUAUAAUUAUAAAUAUAUAUAUAUAUAUCUUAUGAGUUUAUUGAGUGGUAGAUUAGUGGUUGAGUUGUAGUUUUUCUAGAUGGUCAUGUAAAUUUCAAACUCCAUCCAUAUGGUAAUGUAAUGAUAUUACAAAGUAAAAACCAAAAUAAAAACUCUCACUCAGAAGUUCCAGAGCAGUUUGAUUUUUGAAGUCGCACAUUGUCGGAGGAAGCUUGAAUAGUGAUAGAUAAGACAACUCAACUAGAAACUUCGCGAGAUCCAUUUGAAUCACCUCAUUCGUACAUAAAUAAACACUCAUUUUAUUCAAAAAUUCAGAUAUAAGGUUUAAGUUUAACCAGUGUUUAAUUGUUUAUAAUCACCUUCUGGUAACUAUCUUAUUAAAAGGAAAAUUUCAUAAUUACCCAACUAAAUUUCGUUAAAUUUUUUUAUAUCCAAACUUUUAUACUACAUAGUUUAAUACUUCAACUAAUUAUUUUGCUCAGUUUAAUACGCUUGCUUUUAAAACUAUGUUCAUUUUAAUACACAAACUAUGCUAAUUUUAAUAAUAAGUUUUAAACAAAACUUUAAAAAUCUUUAAAUUUCAAAAACAAAAUUUAUUACCUAUUUUCUUUUUUAAAUAACAUAUGUUUGGAUAAUCUUAAUUUUUAUAAUAUUAGUUUUAGUGCUAAUUUCAAUUUUUUUUAUUUUCUGAAGUUUAAAAUAAUUUAUUUAUUUUAUUCAUGAUUAUGGUUUUCUAAAUUUUAAAAUACUAUCUCGUUAGUUUUAUUCCUAAAAAAUUAAAAUAAAGAUUUUUAAAAUUUUAUUUAAAACUUAUUAAUAUCUUUGAUUAAAAUUAAUAUAGUUUGGGUAUUAAAAUAACACAUUUUUAAAAGUAAAUGUAUUAAAAUGUGCAAAAUAAUUACUUGAAGUAUUAAACGGGUAUCAAACUGUGUUGGGUAUUUAACUAAGAUGAGUAAACUUUACAACAUUUUUUAUUUUAUUUUUGUCAUGAAAGUAUCAUUCAUUGAUUAGGUUGUACCAUUGUCAAUAUUUUCUUGUCAACGUACCAAUGUCAAUUUGUAAAGUUGAUCACAAACAGACUAGAAACCAUCUACAAGAAAUAAGGAUUCAACUUUUGUGAAGUAUUAUUGUCAAUUUGUGAAGUUGAUCACAAACAAAUUAUGAAUCAUCUGCAAUAAGAAAUAAGGAUUCAACUUCGGAAAUUGUGUCAAUUUAUGAAGUUGAAUCUUUAUUUCUUCUUUCAGAUGGUUCAUAGUCCAUUUGGGAUUAAUAAGUCAGUUUGUGCUUUGUAUAAACAACUCAAAUCUAGAGUAUUUCGUUCAGUUUUUGUAUCUACAACAGCGGGUGAUGACGAUGACAAUGGCGAUGGCGAUGAAAAUCCAGAUGGGGAUGGGAUUCUUCCUAUUGAUGGGAGGAAGAAUAGAGGAAGACAAUUUACUGAUGAUGUCAAGACAAACAGUUGAUCAAAGCCAAAGUUGUUAGCUGUGAGGUCUGGAGACAAAUGGAAGGUUGAUUGAUAUUGUAACCCGUAUGUUAUCAUCUCUCGGGGGAUCAGUUGCUCAUGUUUAUCAGUAUGAUCAUAUCGUUCCCUGGUGAUAGUUGAUUACAACUUUUAAAGACACACUAAAUUUAUGAUGAAACAAACAAAAUUAACUAAUUAAAUCAUUUAUAAAUGUUUAAAAAAAUAUUUAUAGAAGCUUAUAAACUAACUCCACCUCUUAAAUACUAAAACCUAAACAAUAAUCAUAAAUCUUGAAUCCAAAUAUUAGAGUAUUUUUGAUUGAUCAUAUUUUUUUUCUUUUUUUGAGCAAAGAUUGAGCAUAUAUAUUUUUAAAAUAGUAGCCAACUUAGAAUAUUUCAAGAAAUUUCGCUUAAAAGUAUCAUAUUGGUGUAAAUAUAAAGACUAUCUAAUUAUAUAUGUAAUUAUACUGCUGAUUUUAUUUUAUAUAUUUAAAUUAGGAACUAAAUGGAGUGAAAUGGAGGGUUGGUAUGUUAUCAUCUCUCACGAGGAUCAGAUGCUCAUGUUUAUUAGUAUGAUCAUUUCAUUCUCUGGUCAAAAUCACAUGACUCAAGCCUGGAGAAUUGUCAGGUACUCCAAUCAAUGGUGAAUACUUGGAAUGACGCUUUAUUACAGCUAUAAAUUUGGUUUGUUAAGCUUUUAAACUCAUAUUCUCUGUUUUGGAAGAUAAAUUGUCUAUUUGAAUUUUAGGGUCUGCUGUAGCGAUGAUUCACAAACUCUCAACAAUGGGAUCAUCACAAGAUAAUCAAGAACAGAUAAAGUCGUCUAAAGUAGAUAAUCUUCUUCUUGCAUAGCUUACAUAAUUCAUCAAAGUUAGCUUUUUUUUUGUUUGUUUGUCAAACGAAUUGUCUUGUAACCUCUUGUUAUUUGUGUCUUUGUCUAGUAGAUAUGUUUCUUACUUUGUGAUUACAAAUUAAACUCGAGAGUUUAGAUUUUUUGGUCUCUCGUUUGCCUUUAUUUUGAAGAAGUGUGAAACUUAUGAUGGUCCACAAAACUAGUCAAAUAACACAAGCUACUGAUUGGGGUUUCAUGUGGGACAAACCCAAGUUGAAACCCUCCAAAACUUUUGUACUAUUUUAACAUCUCUGUUUUUUUUUUUUACUUAUUUUUUGGUUAAAAUUGAGACUUUAGGCAUAUAAUAAGAAAACUUUCAGUAGAGUAUCUCAACUUAAAAUAAAUAAAAAUAUAUUAUUGUUCGAUUAUGAAUAUUUCAAAACGAGAAAAACUCAAUCGAAAAUAUCACAAAACGGUGAAAAGUUCAGUCCAAAAUAUCUCAAAUAAUAUAUUUUGACUAAUUUCUCAUCACUCUAAGAUAUCUAAUGAUAUUAGAUCAUUAUUUUAUUUACUUUUUAGAACUACUAAUUUAUUAUAAAAUUUUUGCUCUAGAUCCAUUUCCAUUUUAGUUUUUAUCAUGAUAACUCAAACAUUAAAAUAACUAAAAUAAGAACUUGCUAGAUACUCACAAGAUACUAUGAAAAAUAAUUUGCAUAACAUUAUUGGUCAAAUUUUUUUAAAAAAAUAUUGAAAUUCAAUAGUUUUAUAUAAGUAAACUUAAAAUAACUGAAAUAAAAACUUGCUACAUAAUCACAAAAUACUACGAAAAUAUUUGGCAUUAUAUUAUUAGUCAUUUUCUUAGAAGUAUCUUGAAAUUUAAUAGUCUUAUAGUAAAAACUAUAUAAAGUAAUGAUAUUGGAAUUACGAAAUUUUAUUAUUUUUAGAGUUAUUAAUUUACAAAAAAUAUUUUUAUAUUUUAAAAUAUAUUUUUAAUAAAAUAAGAUAAAUUGUUUAUUUUGUCGUGUAUAUGUUAAUUAAAUUAUUAAAAUUAGACUUUUAUUAUUUUUGUUAUACUAUUUGGUGUAUACAAAAUAUGUUUCAUAGAAUUUAAAUGUAGUUUUUAGAUAUAAUUUGACCUAAUAUUUUCAAAAUAUAUUGAUGUGUUAAGAAAAAUAAAGUUCAAUUUCAUUGUGAAUGUAAAAUAAAUAAUACAAUGAUUUUUUUGUACAUAUAUAAACAUUGUAUGUAUGAAUUAUUAAUUUAUGAUUUUAAUGGAUUAUAUAGAUACAUUGAAUUUUCUAAAAAAAUAUAUUAUCUUAUUUUUUCGAUUUGUGUCAUAUUUUGAACCGGGCAAAUUCGAGACCGAAGAAAUUUAUUAAUUUACUAUGUUUGUAACUGAUCGAGUAUUAAUUUAUAGUAUUUGUACCGUAUAACUGAACUUAAAUAAAAUUAAAAAACACCGAAAGAAUAUCUUAAAGUGAAAACAAUCAUAAAACUAUAAUGUUUACAAGAGAUGAUGCGUAGUGAAGAUGAGAGAAAGGAAACUACAAUGGUUUUGUUUUAUUUAUUUAUAUACAUCAUUACAAGAGAUGAUCAGCUUGCAGUGGUACUUGUAUACAAAGAACAAAGUGUACAAGGCGAGGUAAAUAAUGGAUCUACAAUCUCACUUAAAUCGUCUUCCAAUGGCUUAGAACCUCCAUCUCCUGUCUGGCUGAAUAAUGUUUCUCUUCCAAUGAUGAACAACGAGUGUUUAUGACCAUAGAGAAUUGCUGCAAUGUUACCAACAAAUGAGAGUUUUGGGCGCUUACCCACCUUGAAUCAUCUCACUUCUUAACACAUCUUCUCUCCUUAUUCUGUGAGAGCUAAAAGAGUUACUAGCAUUCUACAUCACUCCUCUAAUUCCAAACUUGGGGUAACCAUAGGGAAUGUUGUCAGAUACGAAUCACCUCUCAUAUCUUUAGCCAAACCCUCAAUGACAUCAUAUAUCUCAUCACUCUGAGGAUGCUCUUGAUCUCUAGACACAAAACAAUUUACAUUACCUGCAACUUCAAUCCCACUACGACCAACUUCUUUCCUUAAACCCUUUUCUCUCAUUCCUCUCCUCAACCUAUCAACACUCGUCCAUUUCUGUUCCUCAGCAUACAUAUUCGAGAGCAAAACCUGAUAUCCUGAAAAGUUCUUCCCUUUAUCCACUUUAGCUAACUUCUCUGAAACAGUUUCAGCAAGCUCAAUCUCACCGUGUACUCUACAAGCUCCCAGGACCGAACCCCAUAGCUCAGCAAUGUUUCCUUCUUCACCAAGCCCUUUAACAAACUCGUAGGCUUCAUCAACGCGGCCUACUCUCCCUAACAUGUCUGUAACGCAGCAAUAGUGCUCAUUGGAAGGCUGGAUGUUAUAAACUUCACUCAUUUCCUCGAAUAUUUUGAGACCUUCAUCCACUAAACCGGAAUAGCUGCAAGCUGAUAAUACUGCAACAAAGGUGACAGCAUCUGGUUUGACUCCAGACUCUUCCAUUGAACGAAACAGCGAGAUAGCUCUCUCACCCAUUCCGUGUUGACCAUACCCCAAUAUCAUCGUGGUGUACGUCACAGAGUUUCUCUCUUUCGUUUGGUAAAACAUGUUUUCUGCGUACUGUAUCGCUCCUGACUUUGAGUACAUAUCAACUAACGCAGAAGCAACAAAUACGUUCUGAUCCAAGUACUGCCUUAUAGAGAAACCAUGUAGCUGUUUACCUAAGUCGAAACUACCUAUCUGGCUACACGCAGGGAGAAUCGACGCCACAGUUAUGGCAUUGGGUUUGAUAUUCUGUUCUAACAUCUUCCUGAACACAGCAAACGUUUCCUCUGUGUGUCCGUUCUGCGUGUACCCGGACAUCAUAGAGUUCCAAGUAGCUUGAUCUCUUUCAGCAUAGCCACUUCUCUCGAAAAGCUUCUCUGAGAUCCUUAUUAGACCUGACUUAGCAUACAUGUCAAUAAGGUAACUGUUCAUCCCCUCGAACUGAAUCCCUUGCCUUAAAAGGAAACCAUGAGUCUGCUUCCCAAUCUCCUUGUUUCUAAGAUUCGACGCAGCCGAAAGCAAAGCAGUCACUGUUAUGUAAUCGAUCUUAAACCCCUGCUUCUGCAUCUCAUACACCAACAUCAAUCCUUCAUCAUCUAAGCCGUUUUGGACAAACGCAGAGAUCAUUGUGUUCCACGUCACAACAUCUCUCUCUCGCAUCGAAACAAAGACCGCAAAGGACUCGUGCACAGAGCCGCACCUCGAGUACAUCACCAUCAACGAGUUGAAUAUCACAACGGGAAGCUCCUGAAAGUUCUUGCUGACAAAACCAUGAAACUGUCUACCUAACUCCACUUGCUGCAGCGCUGAAACUGCACUCGCUGCCAAGAGGAACGUUACUUCGUCAGACACAAUCUCUUUCGAUCCUAUUGCAUCAAGAAAAAGAUCGAUACUCUCAACCAGGUACUCGUUCUGAACAUAGACUCCUAUCAUUGUAUUCCACACCUCAAUAUUCCUCUCUACACAAGAAUCAAACACUCUCCGUGACGCUUCAAUAUCGCCAAGCUCCGCAUACAUAGAAAUAGCCGAGCUCACAACAAACAAGUCCUUCACAUACUCAUCUCCCAACUUAAGCAUCAAACCAUAAAAUACUUUAGCUCUCUUAACACUUCUCGAACUCGCCACCGCGGGGAAGACAUUCACAAAGCUAACCGGACUCGGUUUAAUCUCCAUCCUCAUCAUAAUCCCAAACUGCCUACACGCCUCAGCGUGUCUCUCCGUCUUCACAUACCAAGAAACCAACGUAUUCCACGCCACAACGUUCUUCCUACGCAUACUAUCAAAAACCUUACGCACCACGUCGUACUCGCUUCCAGGAGGAGGGUGGUUCAAGCAAGAAACGUACAUAUUCAACAGAGAGUUAUGAACAACCCUGCUCGAGUUCUGCAAGCACCGGAUCAAAUGGCAAUGCACGGCUUUACCAGCCUUCAGGUUCCUGGUCUCGGCGCAGGCCUUGAGCGUGGAGGAGUAAGUGUAAGGGUCGCAUUUGGUGAAAGGAGCGGUCUUUUUCAUCCGGGAGUAGAAAAGGAGAGCCUCGUGCGGGAGGUUGUUGCAGAUGAGGCCGAUGAUAAUGGUGUUCCAUAGGACGGUUGUUGGUUUGGGAAUUGCGUCGAACAGCUGGCGUGCGAGCUGUGGGUUUCCUUUUUGGCAGAUUCUGCUGAGGCGUGAGCGGAUUGAAGGUGUUUGGGGAGUUGGGUUUGUUGGUGGGGCGAAGGUGGAAGAGCGGCGGGUUUGGUUUGGCGGGGGAGAGUGGAACGAAAGUGGCGGUGGUGGUGGGAGAGGUAGAGCUGAUCCGGCCAUUGUGGAAGAGAUGAUGAAGAACGAAAUGAAGAUACGUUAUUGACUCUCUCUUCCGCUUAUGUUAUCAUCAUCUUUCUUCAGUGAUAAGAGUUUGUUUAUUAUCUAUUUUUUAUAAGAUAGAUUACCAUUUUUCAAAGUACACUAAAUUUGUGAUAAAAAAAAAUAAAAAAUAGACCAACUAAACUAUUUAUUAAUGUUUAAAAAAAUAUUGGGUAAAUAAUCCAUAUUUUCCCACCAAAAAUAUUGGGUAAGAAACUAUCAAUCUCGUCUUAAUUAUAUGUAUCUAUAUUAUUAAAAGAGAAGUACCCAUUUGAAAAUGUUUUUACUUCAUUAAUUAAACUUCCCUUUUUUUUGCUUGUCUUUUUCAGUUGCAUUUAUGAAAUAUCCUAAAACAAAUAAAACUGCCUAAUUGAUUACUUGUCUUUUCAGUUACAUUAAUGAAAUAUGCUUAAAUGAAUUUAAACUUCCUAUUUUAUUGUUUGUCUUUUUCAGUUACCUUAACGAAAUAUCCUUAAAUAAAUUUGGACAUAAUGUCAUUUAAUCAACCAAAAAAACUCAUGAGUUAUCCUUACGUGCAUAAUUUUAAUAAUGGAGAUUUUUAAAAAGAGAAAAUGACACAAAGAACACUAAAUGAAGUUUUCCUCCCCAAACUAGCACUCAGGAUCAGAAUUCACAAAAAUAGGUUUCAUUAAAUGGGCAAUUUACCCUUAUGCCCCCUUCUUUAACUAAUUUAAAAAACAAAUUUGAAAUCAAUUUGUCGCCGUCCUCGUUUCAUCGCUUCUUCUUCUCGUCUCUCCGUCGUCGUCGUCGUCGUCUCUCCGUCGUCGUCUCCCCGUCCUUGUCGUCGUCGUCGUCGUCGUCUCUCCGUCGUCGUCUUCGCCUCUCCGUUGAUCCGUCGUCGUCGUCUCUCCGUUUAUUUAUCGUCGUCGUCGUUUCUCAAUUGAUCUGUCGUUUCUACGUCUAUUCAUCUCAUUCUCUCUCUCGUGUGUCUGAUUUGAUUAAGGUUUGAAUCAUUUCAUUUUGUUAUACAUUAUCUAGGUUUUGUUAUAUAUUAUUCAUUUGUUGAUGAUUUGAAGUUGAUUUUGUAGAACAAUGGAAGUUUUGUGCAUCUGUGGACAAUGGAUCUCAAAAGAAUCUCUCCAGUGGGAGUUUCUUGUUGAUUUGAAGAGGAAUGCAUCAAUCAUUUCCAUAGAAGAAGAUCUACUGUAUGAAGAUUUGAUGAAGAUUGUCUCUGAAGAUUUUAGUGUUAAAGAGGAAGAAAUCAGUUUGAGUUAUGGUUUUUCAUUGGAUAUGAAAUGUAUUAUUGAAAGUUUCCCCCCACUCUCGAUAGGUAAUACUCGUCAGCUCAGAACUUUCAUUUCCAAGACUAGAGCAUUUGAUGGAACCUGUCGUUUGUGUGUUAAGGUUUGUAUGAUUUUUUCUUAGACUUUUCAGGAUAUGCUUCAUAACCAAGUAUUAUGCCUUACAGAACUACUUGACUUAUGCAGGUUAGUACUGAUCCAGUUAGCUGUAACACUCAAGCUUCUGAUACAUUUGCUUCUACUGUUCCAUUGAAUGCCAAUCCAGCGAUUCUUUCUACUGUGCAGAGUGAAAAACAGGUACAUUGUCCUUAAUUCCCUUUUUCUGUUUGUGUUUGCAUGAUAUGCUUCAUAAUCAAGUACUAUGCCUUACAGAACUACUUGACUUUUGCAGAGUCUUCUAUAUGAAGGUGUUUCUACAGUUCCUCUGAAUGCUCUUCCGGAUUUUAGUACUGAUUCAGCUAGCUGUAACAUUCAAGCUUCUGAUACAUUUGCUUCUACUGUUCCAUUGAAUGCCAAUCCAGUGAUUCUUCCUACUGUGCAGAGUGAAAAACAGGUACAUUGUCCCUAAUUCCCUUUUUCUGUUUGUGUUUGCAUGAUAUGCUUCAUAAUCAAGUAUUAUGCCUUACAGAACUACUUGACUUUUGCAGAGUUUUCUAUAUGAAGGUGUUUCUACAGUUCCUCUGAAUGCUCUUCCGGAUUUUAGCCCUGUCCAUAUUGGACUUUCACCAAACACGAGAGUAGCUGGCGAUAUUAAGGUGAAUAGCUAUUUUAAGACAAAGAGAGAGUUGAUGUUGAGGAUGAAGAAAUGGGCUUUAGAGUGGAAGUUUGAGUACAAGACUGUCUCUUCUAACAAGUCAAGAGUGCUUUUGAGUUGUGUUGAUGAAAAUUGCACGUGGAGGAUGCGUGCUAUCAAGCUACCUGUUUCAGAUUUUUUCGUUGUUAAAAAGUAUGUUCAUGAGCAUACAUGCGAUACAACACACAGGAAAGCCAACCACAGACAAGCAUCUGCAAAGUUGUUGGGUUCUUUGAUUUCCAGCAAUUAUGGAGAAAAAAAGGAAGGUCUCAAACCGAAACAGAUCAUUGAACAGGUCAGGAUGCUGCAUGGUGUUCACAUCAAUUACAAACAAGCUUGGAGAGUGAGAGAAGAAGCUCAGAUUUUGGUUAGAGGGACUCCUGAAGACAGCUAUUACAAUUUGUCUAGGUGGUUGUAUAAAAUCACAGAAACAAACCCUGGUUCCUUGACUUAUCAACAUGUUGAUGCUGCAGGAAAGUUCAAGUAUGCAUUUGUGGCUUUUGGUCCAUCGAUAAGGGGAUUUUCAUUGAUGAGGAGAGUUAUUGCAGUAGAUGGUACAUUUCUGAAGGGAAAAUUCAAUGGGACUUUAUUGGCAGCUUGUGCUCAAGAUGGGAAUUAUCAUCUAUAUCCUCUCGCCUUUGCAGUGGUUGACGCAGAAAACGGCGCCUCUUGGAAAUGGUUCUUUAGAGGUUUGAGCCAGAAGAUCCCGGACGCUUCGGAUCUUGUUUUUGUAUCAGACAGGGCUAACUCCAUUUCUUCAGCGUUGGAGGAUGUAUAUCCCUUAUCUCACCAUGGAAUUUGCAGGAUCCAUCUGCUCCGCAACAUCACUCCUACAUAUGCGAAGACUGGGUUGCUACCUCUGGUGGAAAGCGCUGCUGAUGCCUAUACGUGUCACGAGUUCUGGUUAAUCUUCAAGGACAUAAAGGAUAAAUGUCCUGAAUUGGCUAAGUAUCUGGAAGAGUCUGAUUUUAGGAAGUGGGCACGAAGCUAUGCGCCUGCGAACAGGUAUAAUAUCAUGACUACCAACAUUGCAGAGUCUCUCAAUUCUAUGUUGAAGAUGCCUCGUGAGUUGCCCAUUAUCUCUCUCCUUGAAACUAUCAGAUUGACGAUGACCACUUGGUUUUUUGAGCGACGCGAAGCGGCUGCGAAACAUAAGCACCUGGUUACUCCAAAAGUUGUUCAGAAAUUGGUAUCUAGGUUAGGGGCCGCAAUGUUGUUGAAUGUGUAUCAAGUUGAUCGAAGCGAGUUUGAGGUGAAGAAUGAAACAAUGAAGUUUGUUGUUGACUUGGAGAAGCGGCAUUGCACAUGUAAUGUUUUCGACAUUGACAAGAUCCCCUGCAUCCAUGCCAUCGCUGCUGCUAAGCAUAUCAAGAGAGAUGAAAACCGUUUUGUUGAUGCUUCUCACUUGACAGAAACGUGGGCUAAAGCUUAUGCUGAAAGCAUACAUCCUGGUGGAGAGUUGUCAACGUCCACCUAUCCAGAGAAUAUUGAUGAACUGUCUUGCCCACCUCCAGCUACCAAAAAGAAAAGUGGACGCCCUCCUACAAAGAGAAAGAGAUCCGUUGGCGAGUUUGGGGUUCCUGGAUCUAAAUCUCAGUCCCACAAGUGCAGCAGAUGUGGCACAGGAGGGCACAACAAGAUCACAUGCCAGAGGCCUAUAGGAUGAAGUUCUACAUUUUUACAUUUUUAUCGAUUAUUAUUUGGAUGUUUGGCUAUUUGAUGGUUACAUGAUAUGCACAAGACCAUAUACAUUUUUUCUUUUGGAACCCUAUCCUGAAUAAGUAUGAUUUCUUACAACUUUUGUAAUAUACAACAUUAUCUUUUGAUCUCAUUUCAAUUUUUAGUUUAAACUUCUUUGCUAGAAAAAAACACAGUAAUAUUCAACUAUUCUGGAAUCCCAUCCAACUUUUGUAACAUCCAACUUUUGUAAUAUACAAUGUAUUAUACUAUAAAUUGUAUGGGUAAAUUCAAUUAUGUGGAAGCAACUAACAGAUGAUUCUCCUCAGCCUAGCGGCUAAACCACGAAACCUAUGAUACCGAAACAUUUGAUCGACCCGGGUUCGACUCUCCUACGAGUAAUGGGUUUUUUUUUUUUUGUUCAAACAUAUAUCUCAGGAAUCACAUUUGUCGCAAUCGGAAGCCCAUCCUGAACUAUCAAAGAUCUUUCCAAUGUAUUAUACUAUAAAUUGUAUGGGUAAAUUCAAUUAUGUGGAAGCAACUAACAGAUGAUUCUCCUCAGCCUAGCGGCUAAACCACGAAACCUAUGAUACCGAAACAUUUGAUCGACCCGGGUUCGACUCUCCUACGAGUAAUGGGUGAUUUUUUUUUUUUGUUCAAACAUAUAUCUCAGGAAUCACAUUUGUCGCAAUCGGAAGCCCAUCCUGAACUAUCAAAGAUCUUUCCAAUGUAUUAUACUAUAAAUUGUAUGGGUAAAUUCAAUUAUGUGGAAGCAACUAACAGAUGAUUCUCCUCAGCCUAGCGGCUAAACCACGAAACCUAUGAUACCGAAACAUUUGAUCGACCCGGGUUCGACUCUCCUACGAGUAAUGGGUGAUUUUUUUUUUUUGUUCAAACAUAUAUCUCAGGAAUCGAAGAGUCUCUUCCAAACGAUAUCAUGUAACUCAGUAACCGAAGAGUUUCUUUUCGUCAAGAUUGGGUGUUAUAUGAUUGGUUAUUUCAGUAACUGACUUCAAUAAUCGAAGAGUUCCACAAUAAUCAAGAGUUUAUUUUAACUGACUUCAAUAAUCGAAGAGUUCCUUUUUGUUCUAUAAAUAUAAGGGACGAUAUCAGACCUUUUAUUCACUCACUUCAUUUCGCUUGAUAUAUCCUUUUGCAAUACAAGUUAGUUUUCGAUUUUUCUCAUUUUCCAUUCAAUUCAUGAACUUUUUUCUAUUUCUAUUUUAUCGUAACAUCUUAGUUUCGAUUUUGUUGCAGGACAAAGUUUCAAUGGAAGGAAGUUCAAAGAAGAUGAUGAAGCGUCCCAUAGAGGAGGUUUACGGAUGUGAUGCCGCCGAAGGUUUCAAGAAGGGGAAGAAGGAAACUGUGGAACAUUACAGGGCUCUUCUUCGUUUGUCCAACGAAUACAGGCUAUCUGAGAAUGAUUGGAAUCUUGCAUCCAGCAAAGCAAAUUCAAUUGCUGUCCAAAUCGAGUUGCUUGAAGAUAUUAUCAAAGCUGAUGGAAAAUUUGAUUUAACUGCUGAGUUGGAGAAACUCAAAGAAGAGCACUCGGAAGCGGAAGGAAUGCUUGCUGAUGUGAAGGUCAAAGUCCCUGAUUGGGAUAAACUUGGCGAAAGUUGGCUCCAUCAUGAGUAAUUUCAUGUUAUCGUCUUCUCUUUUUAUGUUUUUAAGGACCACAUUAUGUUUGAUUUUCAGUUUUUAUUUUAAAUGAAUAAGCACUUUUGUUUCUCUUGUGUUGUUUCUUCAAUUAACAACCUAAAUAAAAAACUUGUUCAAUGUUUUUCACUAUUUUGUAAUGGUUUGGCCUAGUGUUCUUAUAACUUGGUUAUCUGAUUUGCUUAUUUGUUUUUGGAAAGCCAUCCUGAAUACAUAAAAUGAUAUCCAGAUUAUAUAAAUCUAUCGUCUGUGAAUAAAUGAGUUCACAUUUACUCUGUUAUCGAAUAUCCAACGUAGCCUAGUGGCAAGCCCUUCUACUCUUAGUGUACCCUUAUCACACAAUAAGUCGUGUUCGAUCCCCGUUGUGUAUACUCACAUUUUUUUUGUUUUUAAUUAAAUAUUCAAACGUUAUUUUCGUUUUAUUGUAGCUUUUGGCAAGUAUAAGACCCUUGGUACAACGGCUGCACACUUGGAUUAAUCUAUCGAGAGUUCACGAGUUCAAUCAACAUCAGAUCACAUUCUUUUUCAUUUUUUUUUUGUAAACUUUAAAGGAAUUUGUUUUUGGAAAGCUAUCCUGAAUACUUAAAAUGAUAUCCAGAUCAUAUAAAUCUAUCGUCUGUGAAUAAAUAAGUUCACAUUUACUCUGAUAUCGAAUAUCCACCAUAGCCUAGUGGCAAGCCCUUCUACUCUUAGUGUACCCUUAUCACACAAUAAGCCGUGUUCGAUUCCCGUUGUGUAUAUUUUCACUUUUUUCUGUUUUUAAUUAAAUAUUCAAAAGUUACAAGUUAUUAUCGUUUUAUUAUAUCUUUUGGCAAGUAUAACACCCUUGGCACAGCGGCUGCACACUUUGAUUCAUCUUUCGAGAGUUCACGAGUUCAAUCAACAUCGGAUCACUUUCUUUUUCAUUUUUUUUGUAAACUUUAAAGGAAUAUGCUAGGCUUUGGUGCAUUUUGCUUUCUCACUCUUUUUCUGGAAACCCAUCCUAAAAGUACCAUAAGCAUUUGACAAUUCAUCAAUACAUCCUAAAAAUUUUUCAAUAACAAUCUAAAUGAAAAAAACGUUAGGGAUAAUUCAUUACAAACUUAAACUUAAACGUUAGGGAUAAUUAAUAUCAAAGUAGAAAAACAGUGUAGAAAACAGAACAAAUAUGACAUUUUCACUUCCUUUGACCUUCCUGGAAAUCUUUAUCCAUAAACUGGUCGAAGAUCUCACAACAUAGCUUGCUUCGUAAGUCCAUCGCAGUUUCAUCAUUUAUAUUAGCCAUGCUCUUCAAUCCCAGUGACCUGCAUUCCAGCAUCUUCACAACAAAAAUACCACAGUUGUAUGGAAAUUUUGUCUUUGGAAGCCCUUCUGCAAACUUAACUUCAAAUGGACUGAUAUCUUCGAAAUUAACCUCUUCACCAAGAAGUUCCAUCUUUAUGGCACUAAUCAACACUGUCAUAAAUACCCAAAAUUAUACAAUAAAUCAAUCACCAACAGACAACAAAAUGAAUAUGUAAAAAUGCAUCACAAUCACAAGCAGCAAGUGACAAACUUUUAUUUUCUAAAUUAGCUAAUAUUUUUACCUGCCAGUUCUUGGAUUUGAUUAAGAGCACGUUUGAUAUUUGCUUUUGGAAGACCACAAUGGAAGAGUGUGAUUGUGUUGUCCAUCAAUUGUAUCUCCACCCCAAUAUAGUGACAGCUCAACUUAUCUUCAAUGACACCAUAUAUAACAUCAACAUCUUCCAGCCAUACCUUCUUUGGAUGUAUUAAACCUUUCACAAGUUCGCCUACACAGCCCUCCAAUAACUUUUUUUUUUCUUAUGUGGCUUCCUGACAGAUUCAUAAGCGUACCCAACCUCUUCUAAGAAUUUGACUGGUACAAAGCAUGCUGGUGGAAGAUUGUUGUUGCGGAACCAAGCACCUUGCUCAACCCUCUUACAAUUUAGCAUUUCAAAUGCAACAUUUAUGUGCUGCCAAUGUAACAAUAUAGUUAGAAACUUCAUAUAGAACUGCUAUAACAUGGACAUCUAGCAUAGCUCAACUCAACCUCUUCCUAAACAUAUCACACAAUCAAAUAGAAGACAGAACAGAGUGUUGAUUACCUCUUUGUUGAGAUUGUUUUCUGCAUCGUCCAUUUUUUGAAAGAACUCUUUUUCAAUUUCUUUUCCAUUGAUAUAAAACGGUCUGUAGUUGAUAAAAUUAACUAGUAUCAAUCGAAACUUUUACAAAAUAAAUUAGGAAUAUUUAUGCGAGGACAAAAAGUUGCUUACACACGAUAUAUGCCCCGUAGAUCCAUCCAGUGUGUAAGCCUUGAAAACCGAGGAAAUUCAGGUGUCACAAAUGGAUCAAUUGGAAGGAUUACCUCAGGUGUUACAGGUAUAGGAGGGUUUCUAGGUCGUAUUGGCCUCUUCUCUUCUCGCUGUAGAAAAGGAAGCAAAUCUACUGGCUGAGCAUUUGCUUUCUUCUUCUUACCAACAUGUGGCUUCCCCUUUAAUUAAAAAUAAAGACAAAAAUUCAGGAUCGUUUUUAUCUUUAUACUUGAAUGCCUUCCUAAUAUGAAGUAAAAAUAUUUUUUAUACCUUUUUUGCAUGAUCGUCUUGACUUGGUUUCACACUCUUACCCUGCUUUACUUCUAUCUGUGAAACAAAACCGAUAUAUCAAACUAUUGACCUGAACUUCAAUUCAAGUGGAUCUUAUUCAUUUUUAUUACCUCUUUUGCCAUUUUCCCAACACCAUCUUCUGAUGGACCAGCUGCUUCAUUUUUCUUACAAGCGACAGCCUUCGCCUUCCCCUUUUUGAAUGACAAAAAUUCAGAUACAUUUAUAUCUUAAUUCCUAGUAUGAUGUAUAAAUAUUUCAUACCUUUUUAUCACCAUCUCCUUCACUUGGAUUCACACUCUGCGUCUGCUCUUCUUCCAUCUGAAAAUCAAUACCGAGAUAUUAAACAAAUGACAUUAUUUUUCAAUUCAAGUGAUCCAAGGCAUUUGUUUUACCUUUUUUGUCAUCUCCCAAACACCAUCUACCCAUUUUCUUGGUUUUCGCAUCUCAGAAUGGUGGAAGUAAAUUUGUUCUUUAGAAUUGUUCAAAGAGACAAAACACGAGCCAUCAAACAAAAUGACUUUAACUUUUCCAGCGCACCAGGCACCAUUGUCGAACGCCUCCACGUCCUGCAUUAGCUCAUAACUUUUCUUCGCUCCAGAUCUCUCAGGUGGUGGUUGAGGACGUAUUCUGUCAAUUGAUACACGUGUCUCAACACUCCUUUUCCUCUUCUUUUCGUCCAGAGACGGGACGAAGUACUCAACUUUCACCAUCUCAACCCCAUCAACCAAAUAUGUUGCCAACACAUUUCCUGGAUACCAUUUAUGACAAGUAUUGUCAUCUUGUGAUGAAAUCUCCACAUUUGCUCCGAUCUCAAAGGGAUUUUGAACUCUGCUUUCUACAUCCUGUGAUGGUUUAGAUUCAAGGAUAUCCAGUCAUUUUGAUAGUUGCUGAGUAUUUAUUAAAGGUUUUAAUGAAAGUAAUACCUUAUUUUGCUCUGUUAAAAGAUUUCUGCGAGCUCGGGUAUUUGGCUGUGUGUCGGAAAUGUUUGGUGAAAUGAUCUCAUUCAUAAGCUCGUGAGUCUCCUGAAUUCAGGAAUGGUUGAAUGAACACGUACAAGGGCUUCCAAAAAUUACUUGAAAAGUCCAAUUUUUUAAAGAAGGUACCUGCUGCGUCUGAAUUGGAGUAAGGACUGGAGUCUCAAUAUUCUGUUGAGCUAUUGGAGAACCAGGUGUCUCUUUCGUGAUCUCAUUCAUAGGCUCUCGUGUAUCCUGAUGUCAGGAAUGGGAUUAUGAACACGUACCAAAUUCAUAAUUUUAUAAAUACCAACAGUUUUCAAAAUUAUACUUGCCUCAUUGUUAAGUUGUUCAUCUGCUUGAUCUGCAUUGGCUUCACCUUGUCUGGAAGCCGUCUCAUGAAAUGGAGUUGUGUCAGUCUGUGCAAGUACAACAAAAAUUAGGAAGGCAAGCCUAAAUAUGUAUAACAUCUUCCAAAAUUACUUGACAACUCAAAACUGAAUCAAGAACUAGAUAAACAUUAAUUUUAAUUUCCGAAAAAAAAGUUACCUCAUUGUUUGGAGUUUCAUAUGAAGUAACUCUUUGUAGUUUCUCUAGGUUUGUCACACGUUCUUUAAUCUGUUUCCUGUCUUUUUCAAUCAAACACAAACGAUCGUUCAUGAUCCUUAAAUUAUCUCCCACCAUCUCGCUGAUUCUGUUGAUCUUUGAUUCCAAAGACUCCUCCUGAUACGAAGUAGAAGCUUGACUCAUCCCUCCAUUCCCAAACAGUAAAGAUGCUCUUCUUAUUUCUUCAUUAGCACCGUAUAGGUCUACUGACAUGUUUCGCCAAUCUCUAAUUUUAAACUUAUAACCUCUCUUGGAUAAAUCGGCCAUGUCAUCCAGAUCUUUAUUAGCUUCGUCUCCCAUGCAAACAUCAUCUUCUGGAUCAUUAGAAAUAGGAGGUAGGAUGCAUGUGACCUUAAGCUGAAACCAUAAAAAUAAUUAGCUUUUAAAUGGAGAAUCAUAAGGCAAAACAGAAACAAGAAAAAAAUAAUGUAAAAACUUACAUGAUCUUUGAUUUCAAUUAGGAGAACAUCUAUCAGCUGUGGAGAAGCUAUUUGAAGGUACUUCUCACACAAAAAUAUUGGGGUAGACGGUUGAACGCUCAGAAUAGGAACAACUUGACUGAAUGCAUACUGUAGCAAAGGUACUGACUCAAGUAUCCAUAUAAGAAAUGCCAUAGGGAACCCUUGCAAAUCAUAAUUGUUUUUGUCGAGGCUUUUGUCGACAGCUCUCUGAAGUGAUUUUAACAGCAAAUUAUAAGCUGUUCUCCCCCAUGGGUAUGUCAUCAAGACAUCCAUAUCCUGCGCUAUUUUCACAUAAUCCAAAGUAAAAGUUGUGCCACCGUCGAGAAGGCUCUUCUGUAGUAGUAUGCUCUCAAUCAGGAGGAGCAUUGCAAGGCAGAAUCUCUCAUCAGAAGCAUCUUCUCUUGUGUUUCUGAGCUGCUUCUCCACGUCCUUUACUGUAUGAGUACGCCCUUUUAGGAAGUCCCACUUAAAUUUCUCGGUUCCCUCUCGUGGUUCUCUUGCUUCACCACUACAUUUCAAACCAGUCACCAUGUGGAAUUCUCUUAUAGAGAACCUCAUUGGCUGAGCACCAAAAUGGAACCAUGCUUCGUGUCUCUUCACUGUCUUGAUGCUUUUGGUGAGAACUGCGUGCACUAUCUUAGCUGAUAAUUUCAAAGACCUCUCUCCAAGCUUGAUCACCGGUCCCAAAAACGUCCCUCUUAUUCUGUUGAACUCAUCAUUUCCUAGAAUUUCCUUAACAGUUUUGAUAUAAGCAACUAUCGAGUGUUGGUUUAUCGAUAUCGUCUUCUCUGGCUCUGAUCCAAUCGGAUACCUCAGCUCAGGCAGUGCUAGUCUUAAUGGUAAUGGAUCUCCCAUCUUGUUUCUAUCCUGCGUAAACAAGAAAAAUUUUAUUUGUCUAAAUUAAUUAAAAUCCAAUUUUCAGGAAGGGUUUCCUGAAAAAAAUACAAAUCCUUCCCGAAGUCUAUACACAUGCUUUCACAUGAACUAGAAUUCUACGAAUCAUAUUAGGUUAAAACGAGCAAGUCUAUACACAAGCAAAAACCAGGAGACCAAUCUCUCAGAAAGAAAACACACAUAAGGUUGAAUCUGCAACAUACCUUCAAGAGAUAGAGCUCUAGAAAUGGUUUUUCUCGGAGAAUAGAGAGAGCUCGCGUAAAAGAUCGAGAGAGAGAGAGUUCUGGAGAUGGGUUUUCGUCGGAGAUCGAGAGAUAUGGAGAUGAGAGAGAGAUUCGAGAGGCGGAGACGAGUGAGAUUCGAGAAGUUUGAAACGGCGAGAGUGUUGAGACGGCAAGAGUUUUGUUUUUUUUCAAUCGAAAUGUAUUGUUUUGGAAACCUAUCCUAUAUUAAUUGGGUUAAGUAUGCUUAUGUAAUAUUCUUUAACAGAUGAUUCUCCUCAGACCAGCGGUUAAACCAAGGCUUUUUAUAACUCAAAAGUCUCUCUAUCCCCGGGUUCGAUAUGUGGUGGAUUCAAAAUCUAUUUUAAUUCUUUUUUGUGUUACAGUUUGGAGUUAAAUAAAAUUAAAUGUAAUCCAUAACAGAUGAUUCUUCUUGGCCUAGUGGCUAAACUCCCACACUAUCCAAAUACGCAGACUCUCUCCCUCUGGGUUCGAUCCUUUGUGGUUCUAAAUUUUUGUUGUCUGUAAACAUCACAAUUUUAAGCUUACCAUAUACAUGUCCAAUCCUUAGUAUAUAAUCUCAUUUCAUUCUUUUUUACAUUUGAAACACUUAACUUUUUUUCUGGAAACCCAUCCAGAAACAAUAUUUUAACCUUCCAAGAUAUAUGAUACCCAAAUAAAAUACUUGAUAUCCUUCCAAUCUUUCUUAUGUAACCAGACGCCAACAACAUAACAAAAUAAACAGUCAUAACUAAAACCGAGUCUUAACUAAAACAAAAAAUGUUUUCAUGCAUCAUUCUCAUUUCCCAAAGCUCUCAUCCACAAAUUGGUUGAAGAUCUCACAAGACAAGGUUCUCCUUAGCUCCAAUGCAUUGUCAUCAUUAAUCUUUGUCAUGUCUCCUAUCUUCAAUGACUGGCACUCCAGAAUCUUGACAAGAAAUAUCCCACAGUUGAAAGGAUGUUUUGUCUUGGGUAAACCUUGUGCCUGCUCAAUCUCAAAUGGAAUCAUCUUCACCUUAUCUACCUCAUCACCAGAAGAUUCCACCAGCAGAUUAGAAAUCAACACUGUCAUAUUUAAAAAUCAAUAUCAAGAUAGAAUCAGUUGAAUAUUUCAAACCAAGAAACAGAUGAAUACAUCAAAUACAGAUUGUUUAUACAUACCUGCCAACUUUUUCACUUGAGGAAUAUCAAUGCUGUUGCUUUCCUUUUGAAAACAAUCAUAUACUGUGAUUCUUUUCUUCUUCAAAUGAAUUUCCAUCCCAAUCCAGACAUUGCUUUUUUUUCCAAGAGUAAUCCCAUACACAACAUCAACAUCUUCUCCCCAUGUCUUCUCUGGAUAUACCUUCCCUCUCACAGUAUCUUUAAAUAAAUCGUUGAAAAUCUUUUUACCUUUGACCUUUUCUUUCUUGUAAGCCAAAUCAUCAGAGAGCAAGCAAUGCAAGAACUCCAUAGGUAGGAAGCACGCCUUUGGAAUCUUGUAGUUGUGGAACCAAGCAGCAUUCUCAUUUCUUCUGCAAUUUAGCAUUGCAAAGGCUCCAUCAAUGUGCUGCAAAAAAAAAGGCAAACAUUAUCUAAUUUGUUACUAUAUAAUUUCCUGAAACUAAACAAAUCCUUCCUGAAUUUUUUUUUAAAAAAAAAGCUCAAGGCAAGAACAUAUGUAAACAAAUUACCUCUUUCUUAAGGUCCUUUUUUGCAUUUUCCAUGCUUUGAAAGAAAGAUUUCCUUAUCUUAUUAUCAUUGAUUGAUAGGGACCUGCAGUCGAUUAAAGAUUCAAAGGAAUUACCAAACCUCUUAUACAUAAAUAUAAGAAUAUAUAGACAAGGACAGAAACAUGCUUACGUUUCAUGCAUGCCGGGCUUUAAUGUCAUCCAAUUUUGAAGCCUUGAAAGCUUAUGUUCCGCAGGAGUUGAAAACGGAUCAACUGCAGGUAUAAUCUCAGGUAUUACAGUUAAAGCCGGAUUUCUGUCAGACUUGAAUGGAGUUUUUGUGUCUCUAGAUCGUUUAGGCACCCUCUCGCUCCUUCUUAGGAAAACAUUAUCCAUUCCUGAAUUUUGUGAUGAGGCAGCAGCUUUCCUUUUCUUAUCAGGCUUCACCUUUAAUCAAACAAUAGACACCAAGCAAAAUAUUAUCAAAUUUGUUGCAAUCGGAAUUUCUGGAAACCAUUCCUGAAACUAAAAUGUAUGUAUAUCAAACAAUUCACGUGAAGUAUAAUUCUAGUUAUGAUUUACCUUAUCUGCCAUCUUCCAGACUCCAUCUUUCCAUUCUCUAUGAAUUCGCAAAUCUGAAUGUUUGAAUAGAAUAGUUUCCAUAGAAGUAUAGAGACACACCGAGUAUGUGUUAUCACCAAGUACCAUGCUAAUUUGUCCGCUGCUCCAGCCAUUGUUGUAGAAGGCUUCUACCUUAUCCAUCAUCUCAAAGGAUUUUUGGUCACUAGUUGGUGUUGCAGGACGUAUUUUGUCAGCCGUGAUAGUAUCCUGAAGUUUCUGAAGUCUAUGUUGGUCUGUGAAGAGUGUCGUGUACUCAACUGUCAGCUCCUCUAGUCCUUCACACAGUUUAAGAUCAACAACCUUUCCUGGAUACCAUAUUUCGUCAUCAGUAGACAAAAUUUCAACCUCUGCGCCUAUUUGAAAGUGAGCUAGAAGCCUGCUUACUUCAACCUAUUAAAAAUGAAGAUUCAGUAACAUCAGCGGUUUUAAAUUGUUAGAAUAAUAAUUAAAGAUCAAAUAUACUCGAUGCAUACCUCGUUUUUUUCUGAAAAAUCUAUAGCACUUGUCUGAAGAUGCUCUGUUUGCUGAGUAAUAGGCGGCAUCUUCGAAACAUAUGUGGAAACUAGCUCAGUAGUAGGUUCUGUAGUAUCCUUGAGAUUUUCUUCUGCUUGAUUCUGCUCUGAUGGUGUCUCAUCGGAUUGAUCUCCCUCACUUGUCUGAAGGUGCUGUGUUUGCGGAGUAAGAGGCUGUGUCUUCGAAACAUCUGUGGAAACUAGCUCAGUAGUAGGUUCUGUAGUAUCCUUGAGAUAUUCUUCCGCUUGAUUCUUUCUGCUUGAUUGUGAAUGCUCUCCUUCACUUGUAGAAAAAUAUUGGGUCGCAGUUUCUGUCUCACUCUAUAAGACAAAAGUAAAUGGUAAGAGUUAGUUGAAUAGAAAAAUAUUACCUAAACAUUUUAAAUAUUUCUUCUUACCAAAGCAUUCUUAUUUUCUUCAAUAACUAGUGCAAUUAGUGAAGACAAUGGAGAGGAAGGUCUGUAAUGCACAGCAUGUGUAUCCUCCUGUAAUAACAGUAAAAUAAAAGAGGUAGUUAUGAAGAAGUUUCUACAAUUUAAAAUUCAAGUUGUACUUAUGAAAGACAUUUCUAUGCUUACCUUUUUAUUGUUUGCUGAAAUGAUCUCAGUCAAUGGCUGUGUAGCCUCAUACGUUUCCUCUGUUACCGUCUGCAAAAAAAACAAAAAAAAGUCAGGUAGGGGAUCAAAAACACGUACAAAAGCUUUCAAACAUUACUUGAAAUCUCCAAGAUUUUUUGAACAUUUACCUGCUGUUUCUGAAUUGGAGUAAAAACUUGAGCCUCAAUACUCUUUGGAGAUAUUGGAGAAGAAGGUGUCUCAUUCAUUUCCAGUGUUUCUUUUUGCAAAACUUGAGUCUGAGCAGCAGGUGACUCAAUCACAAUCUGCAAAAAAUAUCAGGAAAGGCCAUCAUGAAUACAUUCAAUUAUAAUUUCUAGAGUAAAUAUUACCUCAUCAUCUGGUUUUCCUUCUCCUUGAUUAGUUUUGGGUGGCGUUUCAUCAGUAGAGGUUUGUGUUUCCCUCUGCCAAAAAUUAGAAAGGUCUAUAUAUGUAAAUCACCCAAAACUAAUUGUAAACUCCAACUGUCAUUGAGCAUAUACCUCUUUUGUCAGAUUAGGAGUAAAAACUUGAGUAUCAAGGGCAGGCGUGUCAUCCGAUGGCUCUCUCUCAAUCUGUAAAAAUUAUCACGAAGUCAAUCCAGAGUACGUUCUAAAGCUUCCAAACAUUAACUUAAAAAUCCAAGAUUUUUUUUGACCAUGUACCUGCUGAGUCUGACUUGGAGUAUAAACGGGAGUUUCAAUACUCUUUGGAGCUAUUGGAGAAGAAGGUGUCUCAUUCAUUUCUACUGUUUCUUUCUGCAAAACUUGACUCUGACUAGCAGGUGACUCACUUGUUAAUUUCUCUCUCACAAUCUGCAAAAAAAUAUCAGGAAUGGCCAUCAUGAAUACAUUCAACUAUAAUUUCUAGAAUAAAUAUUACCUCAUCAUCUGGUUUUCCAUCUUGAUUAGGAUUGGAUGGCCUCUCACCGGUAGACGUUUCUGUUUCUUUCUGUCAAAAAUCAGAAAAGCCUUUAUAUGUAAAAAAAAAUCACCCAAAACUAAUUUGUAAACUCCAACUGUGAAAACAAUAUCAUUGAGCAUAUACCUCUUUUGUCAGAUUAGGAGAGAAUACUUGAGUAUCAAGGGCAGGAGUUUCAUCAUCUGAUUCAUUCAUUGUGUCCUGCAAAAAUCAAGAAUGCAUUCUAGAAUAUGUACAAAAGCUUCCAAAUAUUACUUCAAAACUCAACAAUAUUUUAUUGGUUACAUACCUCAUUUGUCAAAUUAGGCUGUUGAGACAUUGGAGAUAAAGGCGUCUCACUCGAUGAUUGCGUGUAAUCCUGCAAAAAUCAGGAAGGCAUUCAGGAUUUUGUACAAGAAUUUCCAAAUAUUUUCUUAAAAAUUUUUGAGCAUAUACCUCAUUUUGUUGAGACUUUGGAGAUGCAGCUGAUUCAAUCAUUGUCUCCUGCAAAAAUCAGGAAUGCAUUCAAGAAGUACAAAAGCUUUCCAAAUAUUACUUCAAAACUCAACAAUAUUUAUUGGUUACAUACCUCAUGUGUCAAAUUAGGCUGUUGAGACAUUGGAGAUAAAGGUGUCUCACUCGAUGGUUGCGUGUGAGACAUUGGAGAUAAAGGUGUCCCACUGGAUGGUUGCGUGUGAGACAUUGGAGAUAAAGGUGUCCCACUGGAUCGCUGUUUGUCAAAUAUUAGGAAGGCAUUCAAGAAUAUGUACAAGAUCUUCCAAAAAAUACUUGAAAAUGCAAAUGUAAAAGAAGAUGUUUUGAGAAUUUACCUUUUGUGUCACGUUAGUGGGAAAAACAUUGCUGUUUCCUUCCAACUCUGACACACGAGCUCUAAGAUGUAUGUUUUCUUCUUCCAGUAAUGACAUUCGAUCCUUCAUGCUCUUCAGAUUCUCCUCCAUUACCGUGAUGAUCCUGUUCACUUUUUCAUUUACUGAAUCCUCAUCAAUCGGAGUAGAAGCUUGGCCAGUCUCCUUAUUUGCCAUCAUUUGAAUAAGAGCAUCCAAUGUGUCAAAUGUGUCUACACACCUAUUUUCCCAGUCAUCGGCUGUAAUCUUGUACCCUUUCUUUGUUACAUCUUUCACUGUUUCCAACUCGUCACUAUAUUUGUCUUCAAUGGAGAUAUCAUCUUCUGGAUCAUGAGGAAUAGAAGGUAGUAUGCAAUGGACCUUCAGCUGAGAAUAUUUCAAAAAAAGACCAAUGAGAAACAUAUUAAAAAGAAGAAGCCAAAUAAACUGAGAAACAUAUACUUGGAAAAGCUUACCUUUGUAUCAGCUUCAACCUGUAAAACCCUAUCAAGUGAUGGAUUCUCUAUCUCAGUGUAUUUUUCACACAAGUAAGUCGGCCCAGGAACCUCAACUGUUGGUACACACUUACUGAACUUAUUCCUUAGCAAAGGAAUCGACUCUAGUAUCCAAAGAAGGAAUACUAGAGGAUAACCUUGCAACUCAAAUUUGGAUUUAUUCUCCAAAUGAUUCGCGACAGCGUUUUGAAUUGACUUCAGGAGCACAAUGUAAGCCUCUUUUCCCCAUGGAUAUGUCAUAUCCUGUGCAUUUUUCGCAUAUUCCAAAGGAAAACUCCCUCCUUUGCUCUUCCGCAAUAAUAUGCUCUCUACCAGGAUGAGCAUUGCGAGGCAUAUUCUCUCCUCAGAAGCAUCUUCUCUUGUGUUUCUGAGCUGGUCCACCACGUCACUUAACUUAUGACUACGCCCCUUUAGCAAUUCCCAAUUAAAUCUCUCGGUUUCCCUUCGUGGUCCUUCUAAUGCACCACUACAUUUCAAGCCUGUCAUCAUAUGAAAUUCUCUUAUAGAGAACCUCAUUGGCUGCGCACCGAAAUGGAACCAGGCUUCAUUCUCCUUGACAGAAACGAUGCUUCUAGUGAGAAUGGCGUAGACUAUCUUUGCUGAUAACUUCAAUCCUCUCUCACUGAGCUUCAUUACAGGUCCCAGAAAUGAUCCUCGGACUCUUAUCAUCUCAUCUGGUUUUAGGAUGCUUUUGACAAUAGAGAUAUAAUCUGAACCAGAGUAUUGGUUGAUUGCUGACUUUUCUUUUGGCUGUGAACCAAUAGGAUACUUCAGCUCUGGCAGUGCUAGUUUUAGAGGUACUGAAUCUCCCAUCUUGUUUCUAUCCUGCGUAAACAAGGAAAAAAAAAAUUUCAAACUUUUCUGGAAGGCUUUCCUGAAAUAACACAAAUACAAAACAACACAAAAGUCUUCAUUUGCUUCGCUUGUUAAUAAGAACGAGUAACACACAAAUCAAAAUCAAAACGCAAGCUUCCCAAAUUUUAAUUCAAAAACCCUAAUUUUAAAAAGUUACCGAUUUUGAGAGUAGAGAGUGUGACGCUGAUGAUUAGAUAGCCGGAGAAGAUGAUUAUCGAGCCGGAGAAGAUGAUUAGCGAGCCGGAGAAGACGAUUAGCGAGCCGGAGAAGAUGAUUCCCGAGCCGGAGACUUCGAUUCCCGAGUCGGAGAAGAUGAUUCCCGAGCCGGAGACGACGAUUCCCGAGUCGGAGAAGAUGAUUCCCGAGCCGGAGACGACGAUUCCCGAGUCGGAGACGACAGUGCCGGUGAGGGUUUGAAGAUUCCCGAGAGGAGACGACACGAUUCGCGAUCGAAUGAAAUGAAAUGUUUUUUUUUUCUAUUCUUAUAACAAAGGGUAUAAAGGUAAAUUACCCCUUUAAUGAAACCUAUUUUUGUGACUUCUGAUCCUGAGUGCUAGUUUGGGGAGGAAAACUUCAAAAGGUGCUAUUAUUGACAAUUGCCCUUUUAAAAACGUGCAUCAUUAAAAUGUUACCUAAAACAUGCAACACUAAUAUAUAACAUGCAUCAAUAAAACUAGAAUUUGACUCACACAAUUGUACGGAUAUUAUUUUCAGUUGAUUAAAUUUAAAAAUAAUUAUUUAUUCAAAAAAUAUUUAAGAAUGGCUAUGUUUUUAAAACUUAUAUGGUAUUAUUUGCUCAUAACUCAUUUGUCAUUUGAUAAAUUGUUAGAAAUAAAAAUUUUAGCAUAAUAUAACUCAGUUGUCAUUUGCUAAAUUUAUAGUUUUUAUUUAUAUUUUUUAUUAUUUAAUUAUAAUAUUUUCAUUUUAUAUUUGAAAGAUAAAUGAAUUUUCUUUCAAACAAUAUUUUUGUAAAUGUAUUUUUUAAAAAAUAAUCAACUAAAAUUGUUAUUAUCAUUGAAUAUAAUUAUUUUUGACAUAAUUUGAGUUUUCGUUUACAUCAAAACUUAUCAUAUUUUAGGAUAAUUUUAAUUUAAAAUGUAAUUUUCAUAUUUUUCAAACAAAUUCUAAAAAUAUUUUUUUAAAUAUUUUGUUAUAAUUGUUAAAAAAAUAUUGAGUUGCAUUUCAAAUAAAAAGGUAAAGAUAUUAAAAAUAUUCUAAUUAAAAUAUGUAAAAUUUAAUAUAGUUUUAAGGAAAUUGUCAAAAUAAAAAAAAUUACACAUAAAAUAAUCAUGAUUUUUGUUAACUGGGCGGAUCAUUAUUUAUAUGAUAUCGCACACGAAAGAAAAAAAAAUUUAAAUUAUCUAAUUAACUCUAUACUCAUUUUAUUUAUAUUUUUAUAUGGUAUCAUACAUUCGUAAAAAAAUAGAUAGUUUAAGAUGAAAAAAAAUAUAUUUACUUAAUGAAUAUAAUAUGAACGAAUAUUACAAAUACAUCAUUUAAUAAAAUAAAUAAUUAAAAAGUGAAAAUUCAUACCCGCGCUGGCGCGCGGAUCAGGAUCUAGUUUUAAAUUAUUCUACAUGUUAUUUCCCAAUUCAAAGUUUCAAACCAUAAAACCACAUAAUCUUUGUGGUUAAAAAAAAAGAAAAAAAAAGCAUAGGCGAUGGAGAGGCAUGUUUUAACGAGGGUCAAGUUGGUUUUUAUUUGGUUAAUUGUUUUUGGUUCAAGUGUUUCGACUUUAAUUUAGGUUGUAAACGAAUUUUGGUUUACGUUGUAAACCAUUAAAUCAGUGAAAAGCCGGGUUUGUGUUUCAGUUUUUUGAAUUGGUGAGUAAUACGUAAAAUAACUUAAAAUAUGUGAAAUUAAGAUGAAGUUGAAAGUUUGUGUAUAAUUGUUAUUAUAUGAUAUUUUGUGGGGGAAUUAUGUCCUUUACUCAAAAACAUUUAUAUAAGUUUAUAAAUUCAACCCCAUUUCCUAAUCUUAAAACCUAAACAAUAAUCAAUAAUCUAAACCCAAAUGUUAAUGUAGUUUUGAUUGAGCAUAUCUUUUUAAAAUUAGUAGCCAAUUUAGAAUAUUUCAAACUUCUUAAAAAUAUUCUAUUGAUGUAAAUAUAAAGAUUAUCUAUUGUAUAUAUGAUUAAAUAUUGGUUCCAUUUUAUAUAUUAAUUCAAAAUUAAGAAUUAAAUUUAUAAUAUAAUAGAAACUUUGGGUUUUAUUGGUUUUAUUAAAUAUCAAGGUUCAUAAUCAGAGAUAGUGAAAAACUAAAUUCAAGUUCGAGCUUAGAGUGAGAGAUGUGAAAAUAAAAAUAGAAUGAUCAAAAUGUUAAUGAGGCAAAGUCUUGAGAGAAAAUGAGAGAAAAUAGAAUUUUUAGGUUGAAAUCUAUUUAUAGAUGUCUUAAAACGAGCUGGAUCCACCCAAUAAAGCUCGGUCAAACCAAUAAAAAGUGGUCUUUCCGUCUGACAUGGUCAUCCCACUAUAAGUAGGUCGCUACAACACUUAGUUGUGUGGGGCUUCUUGGGGAACCAUAGCGACAUGCUCUGGUCGCUACAGCUAUGGUCGAUACAUGGUUGAUAUGACUCCAGUAGAUAGAUCAUAACUCCUUCAAUACAGCUACAAAUGAUUUGAAACCCCGGCAUUGGAAAGCUAACUCAAUUGUCUAUAUCGUCCCGAAAUUCGAGCUUCAGAAGAGAUCUUUAAGGCCGUCAUCCAUGUUCAUCUUUUACCCUUUUGACUCAAAACUCCUCAAAUUCCCUCAAACUCACCAAUAAAUAUCUCCAAAACCUGAUAUAGACACAUGCAAUGCGAUAUAAAUAUGUAUAAAUGCAUCUCUAUAUGAUCAUUAUAUACAUUAAAUGAUAAUUUAAAAUCAUGGAAAUUUAUAAGAUAUCAACCCUCCCACACUUAUCAUUUACUUGUCCAUAAGUAAACUUUCAAGAACAAAGUGAGAAAGAGGUGCGAAGGUGGAAGCUCAUUACCAAAAGAUAUUUUUCAAAGCCGUCAACGUGAUAUCCUUACAAAAUCAUACCAAAUAUCAAGAGCAAAACAUCAUAUGAAACUCUAACUUCUCUAGGCUGAUACUACUCAAAUUACCCUAAGGAGUGAUUUUACUCUCUCAAAUAAGAAGUUCAAUUGUAGUACUUAGGGAUCGAAGCUACAGAGAGUUAGGGCACACAAUAGACUAUUAAAACCAAGAUUAAGCUAGGCAAAGCAGUAAAUCAAUGAAAGCAAGAUGAACAAAGUAGUUGUUCCAUUGGUUGAUUGAGGUUGUAAACAAUUAAGAGAAAUAGCUAGACCUAGGGAUUUAUCAAUCAAGAGAUUCAAAACUUCAAUUCAAGGAUGCUAAUGGUUUACAGAUUAAUUUUAGAACUUGAUUUUAAUAAGUAAGCAAUCCAGCUUUCACAUGCAAUUGCUAAUCAGAUGUUUAAGUCCAGUCUCAGCUGUCGCUUAUUGACUUGGGGCGAGUGUCGAUCGAUGCUAUGGCCUGAGCGUCGAUCGAUACUUCCCCAGACAAGCAUUAACGACCUAAUCAAUAUAGUUCAACUAGAUUCCUAGACCAAUUCUCGCAUGCGCCUAGGUAUCUAAUCCAGCAGAGUUCGGGUUCCGUUAAUUGAUUGCACUUUCGUGCCUCUCAACUAUCCUAUGAUUCUAGGUUCAAAUAAUUAGUCGCACUGUCGUGUUAUUCUAACUAUUCCAGAUCCUAGUAUUACAAAUCAUCCUGGUGUAGAAAUCUAUAGAUAAUAUAGCAAUCCUAAUUGAUCAGUUUGACAUUAAGCUCAUGAAAUCCCUAAACCUAACAAGAUGAAUUACUUAGACAUGCAAACAAUAACACAAAUCAUAGUCUGAAAAAUAUAAUAGAUAAAUCAAUGGUAAGACAAAUGGAGUUCCAAUCAAUAUCUGAAGGAGAAUUGAUCUUCUCUCUAAACCUAAGAAAAAACAAUAGAAUAGGAUAAUAGAAAGCUUGUUACCGUUAACAAUGAUUUAUAAAUAAAUACAUAAAUAGGGUUUCUGGUCGUCCAUGGGUAUUUUGGUAACUUGGUGUGGCUUCUGGGCUUCAAACGGUCUUGAAAAAUGCGUGUCCCACGUUCUGGCAUCACUGUCGAUCGACACUAAUGCUGUGUUAACGAUCGACAGUUAUUCAUCUCCUCGAUAGCUUCUUCUCGCGAGGCAGACUGACUACUUUUCAGUAAAACGGUCAUAACCUCUGCUGCAGGUUACCAUUGACCUCAAACCGAUGGAAUUGGAAAGCUAACUCAAAGCUAUAUUUUGUGUCAAAAGAUGGGCUCAAUAUAACGGUGGGAAAGUCUCCAUCUAUAGCUAAAUAUCUGACGUGUAUGUGCCGCUCUGCACAUCAAAAGGCUCCAAAAGACACCAAAAUCACCACAUUCCUCCAAAUCGUCCAUGAACCUGUAAAUACUCUAAAUAGACUCUAUAUAGUAGUAAAUAUAUGUUAAAACACUUAUAGAUCAUGGCUAAAAGAGGGUAAAAUCCAUGGUCUAUCAACUUCCCCAGACUUACCCUUUUGUUUGUCCUCAAGCAAAACAGACGGACAGUCUCUCUGAAAGAGGUUUGAAAACAGCAGGGACUCACAUGAUUUAAAACUUAAACUCAAAAAUCAAUAUUUAUAUCGAGCAAUAACCAAAAUGAAAAAAAAACGACACAAAAAUGAGAAAAAUAUUGAAGAUAUUUAGGAUUGGCACGUGAACGUAAACUUCUCAUAACCAUAAUUAACUUUUAAAUUGCUAAAUCAUUAUAUAAAACAGAACUCUCAUAUUUUCAUUGUAACCAAAUAGUAGAUCUGAGAUUCUCUCGUCUAAAUGUUAGGUUCUUAUGCGAUAAAUGAAUUUUUGACCUAAGAUAUUUUUAAAAUAGAAUCAGCUCAUCAGUAAACAAAUUAUAUAAUUAACAAAAAAAAAAUUUUAAAUGAUUUAAGGGCCAAAAUUUAUUCGAUCAAUAAUAUAAAUUUUAUUUUUCCAUACGAUAUUUCUUAAAUAAUUCGUCCUACGCAAAGCGUACGUCUUAUCCAAGUAUACUUAAUAUAUUACCAAAAAAAUGUAUCCACAAGAUAUUAAUUUUACAGAAUUUUCCCAUUUUAUGUCUGAUUUGUUUCAGUUUGAUUUUCCUUUAAAAUUUUAAGGCUACAAAAAUGGAUAUCACUGAAUUAAUUUACGUUGUGUUAUUUAUUUUUUUGAAACUCAUUUACGUUGUGUUAAGUCGUAGAACCAUAGAACCAGGCCCGGCUUAAAUACAUUAUGGGCCUUGUGCAGACAUAUAUUUUUUCCCAAAAAUUAUAAGGAAAAAAGUUUCAUAGCUACCCGAAGUUUACACUAAUAUGGUGAAAACCAUCCAAUAUAUGAAAAUAUGUCUACAACAACACGAAGUUUAUGUUAAUACAUGUCACAUGUACGAAGUAAAUAAUAAUAUGGUAGCAACAUCACAAUUGGGUUUAAUUAAUUUUAAGCUAAGUUAAUGGGGUCAAUCCGUGAUUUACUAAACUUAAUAAACUUAAUAAUUUAAUAAACUUAAUAAACUUAAUGGUUUAUUAAGUUUCAUAAACUUAAUUUAUUUUAUUAAUAAACUUUAACUUAAAAACUUAAUAAUUUAUUAUACUUAAUAAAUUUAAUAAACUUAAUGGUUUAUUAAGUUUAAUAAACUUAAUUGAUUUUAUUAAUAAACUUUGUAAUUUAAUAAACUUUAACAUAAUAAACUUAAUAAUUUAUUAUACUUAAUAAGUUUAUUAAACUUAAUAAUUUAAUAAACUUAAUAAACUUAAACUUAACAAAUUUAUUAAACUUAAACUUAAUAAACUUAAUAAAUUCAUUAAACUUAAACUUAAUAAACUUCAUAAAUUCAUUAAAUUUGUUCAAUUUAUUAAGUUUAAUAAAUUUAUUAAGUUUAUUAAUAAAUGAUUAAGUUUAUUAAGUUUAUUAAUAAAUGAUUAAGUUUAUUAAGUUUAUUAAUUAAUGAUUAAUUUUAUUAAGUUUAAUAAAUUUAUUAAUUUUUAUAAGUUUAAUAAAUUUAUUAAUUUUAUUAAGUAAGUUUAAUAAAUUAUUAAGUUUAUAAACAAAAUCAAUUAAGUUUAUUAAAAUUAAUAAAUCAUUAAGUUUAUUAAGUUUAGUAAAUUACGGAUUGGCCUCACUAACUUAGUUUAAAGUCAAUUAAACCCGAUUGUGAUGUUGCCACUAUAUUAUUAUUUACUUCGUACAUGUACAUGUGACAUGUAUUAACAUAAACUUCGUGUAGUUGUUGACACAUUUUCAUACAUUGGAUGCUUUUCACCAUAUUAGUGUAAACUUCGUGUAGUUAGAAAACUUUUUUCCAAAUUAUAAUGAUAUUUCCUUAAAUUUACAAAUUAGGACUCUGUGCAUGUGCACCUUGAGCACACCCCAAGAGCCAACACUGAAUAGAACCAAAUAAGAAAGAUUUCUGAUAAAAAGAUUGUAUGAUUAUUUAGGAGACUAGAUUCCAUGUUGUGUGCCGUGCUGCCGUGCUGAAAAUACUUUUAGUUUUAUAACCCAUGUUCAAAAACACGGCCGAGUUGGCCGACUUCGCGCCGGUCAAACGUAAUUCGGUGGUGUUUUGCCGCGAUUUUGUGUUAUUCGGGUAAAAACUCGGAUUAAAAAAAUAUACAUAUUUUGACAUUUUCCAGUUUGAAAUCGGUUCUUUAAGCAUAGAUCUAUCAUAUUUCAUUGUUACCGAUCAAGAAUUGAAGUUAAUCGUCGAAGAAAAAAAUGAUUUAUGUUAAAAAUAAAUGAAAAACGGCUGUUAAUUAGGGUUGGAGAAAAAACAGGUCGGGAGGAAAAUGAUGAAAGUAAAAUUACAAAUGUGUCUUUCAUUAAUGAAAUGUUUAAAGAAAGAGCAAAAAAAUGGACAUUUUUGGGAAUUGAACCCGGGAGAAGAGAACUAGUUUUUUUAAGGACUUGCAUGCAUGAGAUUCUACGCGUACAGUUUUACGAUGCAAGUCCUUACGGUACAUUGUAAAACUGUACCGACAUCGUCAAUGUUUAGUCUACGCGUACGGUUAUAACUCACUAGUUAUUUAUAUUAUUAUUAUUAAUUUAUUAUUAUGGCGGAGUCGUCACAUGCAUGCAUGAGAUUCAUUCAUUCAUAAUGUCACACUCACACACUAUCCAUUCCCCUUUUUUUUUUGGACUCUUUUUUUUUUGUUAUAAAGAAAAUAAAAUUCUUAAAGUGACAGACUUCACGGGUUACACUGUGUUACUACCCGCCAAAUUCUACCCGCCACCUUUUAAAUUUCAUUUUAGUUUCUUCACCGUCAAUAAAUCGUCAGGACAAAAUAAAUACUUUUACAUUUCAUUGUUUUAUCGUACCAAGUGUGGUCAGUAUCUCUAAUAAUUUUGAAGAAUAUUUAGAAAACUAGUUAGAUUAUAAUUUUCGACGAUGUUAAUAUAUAUGUCGAAGUAAAUAAGGUAAAAAAAAAUGGUUCGUUUAUGGUUUUAUAUGGCAUUUAAAUUUUGAAUAUUGACUAUCAGAUUCAGUAUAUCAUUUAGAAUAGAAACAAAAGUAACCUAAAACUUAUAGAUUGAACUUCUUUUCAGAAUGUAUAUGCAGAGCCGGUCCUAGUGUAUUUGAGGUUACAAGCUAAAAAAUAAAAAAUGGCCGAAUUUUUUUUUUUUUUGCACUAGGGAAUUAUCGAACCUUGCUCUUUCAGACUAGACAUAUGUUGAUUCAACCACUAGACUACACAAGUUUUUGAUAAUUUUGUGGCCGCUUUUAUAUUUAUAAAGUGGCGGCCGGAAGUCCAUGCUUCACCAGCUUGGGCCCAAGACCGGCACUGUGUAUAUGGCACUGUGUAUAUGCAUUUACAGCUUUAGUAUCCUUUGAAUUAUUAAUUAUCAAAAAAAAAUUGUAUCCUUUGAAUUAUCGAUUAUACUAGCCAGAAUUAGUACAUGCUGACCUAUUUACAUUAUAUUUGAAAUCCCAUAGUGAAUACGCGCACCAUGACUAGUAUUACUAUUAUUGUAUUAUAUUAUAUUUACAUUAAUAUGUAAUAUGAAAAAACUAUAAAGAGAAUCAUCAGUCACGGACAUCAUGACUCAAUCACUCUAAGCUAGAAUGCUAGAUACGGAAUAUCUUUCAGAAGCGUGGGACUAAAAUAUUACAAGAAAUAGCUUCGAACAAUUCACAGAAGCUAGCAUGGUGAAAAAUAAUCUUGAACCCAACAGACUACUUUUGGUCGGGAACCCCAAUAAGUUGGAACUUUGUUCAAGAUUUAUCAACCUAUAUUUGUAUAUGAAUAGUUGAAUAGUGUAUAUCCCAAGAACUGAUUCUCUUUUUCCUAUUUGUAUAGGCAAAGACAUAAACUAGCACCCAAGAGAACUUGCCUAUGAUCCUCUCUCUCAAAAAAAUGUGGACCUAACAAGGAAGGAACAAGACAAAAAGAGUGAGAACGAUUUUUUUUAUUAUAUCUUGUAACUAUAUAGAGAAUGGGAGGUGUCUCGUAAGUCAAGUAGUAAUGACAAAACCCCUUCAUAAAUUGUCUACCCACUGGGCACUACACUACAAGAACCUUUGGUUGCUCCCAUUGUUUUCACCUAUAAAUUACAAAUAUGACUAUGCCUAAGGUUCUUAAGAAACCUAAUAUAACGAAGGUUUAAGUUAGUGGCUUCUAAAAGCUUAGACUAUGCAUUCUCUAAUAUUGAUUAUAGACUAAACAUUGACAAUGUCGGUACAGUUUUACGCGUUGGCUUUAGAUAUUAUAAGGACUUGAUCUGAGGUUUAGUUAAAAUAAGGUGCAAGACAUAAGACAUGAUUCUUAAAAGGUACUAGCUUAAGACCCGCGCAAUUGCACGAGGUGAAUGUUAUAUAUAAAACUAAUUUUUAUCUAUUAUUAUUUAUUUAUAUUCAUUUACGUAUUAUGUAUAUAAUUAAAUUAGAGUAAGAACAUAAAUCAAAACAAUACAUCUUGUUUAUUUACGAUACUUUUUUGGUAAAUAAAUCAAAACAAUCAUUUUAUUUAUUUUCUAUGGUAUAUAACUAAAUUUCAGUAACAUGGACAUAGAUAUAUAGUAUAUUUUAAUAUAAAUAUUUAUUAUUGAAAAUUCAUACUCAUAUGAUAAACACAAAAUUUCUAAUGUGCGAUUUUUUAAUGCAAAUUUUAAAAUUUAAAUAUUAAGGUUUCAAUACUUUUUCAAUAUAAAUUUAGAAAUUAUCAUAUUUAAGUAUUAUUCUAUGUUAUAUAGUUUAAUUUUAAACUAUAUUAUUAUAUAAUAUGAAUGUCUAGCAAAUGAGACUUCAUAUUCAUACGAUUUAUGAUCAUUUGUAUCUUGUUAUUACCAAAACAAAGUUAAACCAUUGAUCACAAAAUUUUAGUGUGAGACAUUUAACGUUUUUAAUAAUUUAUAGUCGUUUUAGAAAUUCAAAAUAUAACAUAUAUUUUUUUAUUAUUAUUAUAUGGUUAAUGUUGUUGUUUAAUAUUUUUUAAUAAUAUAAAAUUAAACAAAAAAGAGCUAAGAUACAAAAUUUAUUAUCAAAUAUUUAUUAUUCAUAAUCAUUAAUUAUCAUAUAUACAUUAAUCAUAUUAAGCAACUCCGUAGCUUUUAUUUAAGGAAAGUGCGAGAAUAUUAUUUUGUACACUAUUUAUAAAUUUAAUAGUUAGUUUAAUAAAAAAAUAUAAUAUAAGUUAAGAUAAACCAACCUAUUUUUCUAUGAAUUCUGAAAUUCAUUCUCAUGGUCACACGUGACUACAAAAUAAUGUUGUAAUGUUUCACAAUUAAUAUAUAAAAAAGAUUAUUGGCAUGCUUCACGAAGCUAAUUUUUGACCAAAUAUGCAAAUAUAAACUAUGGAAAUUUCUUAGGAACAUACUAGUAAUGAAAAUCAUUGGAGAUCGUACUAUCGUUAUUCGUUACUGAUUCUUUUGCAAAAAUAAACAUAUAAGAAAUGAUUAUGCUAGUUUAUGUUGCUGAGUGCUACAGUUUAUGGGUCUGACCGGUGACCAUUCAUAAAACAAGAGGAACAACAGAAAAAGAAUAUACCGGAAAAAAAUAGCAAGAAUGAAAGUGAAUGGUUAUUGCUUCUCAAAUUUAAUAAGGAAUAAUUUUAUUUUUUAAUUUUCUACAAAAAAAAAGAACGAAAAAGAAUGAGAUAGAAUUAUUAUUCCUUGUGAAUGGUGAUUUUUUAUAGGAACGUUAGAGAAUGCAUUAUUUCCCAUCAUUUCUUGGUCACCUUUCGUAAAAUAGUGUUGUUUUUCUAAUUAAGCAUUUUCAUGUUUUUGUUUUUCUAAACAUUUUCAUGUUGUUUGUUUUUCUAUACAUUUUCAUGUUACGGUAUAUAUAGGCUGAGCAUGUCCAAGCUAUUCAAAAUUAACCGAAUCGUGGAACAGAUCCAGUAACUAGCUAAUUCAUAGUUCUAUUAAAAUUGAGGUUAAGUAUAUAAAAGAAAAAAAAAACAAAGAAAUGAAUAGUAACAAAACUAGAGAGAGAACAGAAAGGAAUAGAGAUUUUGCCGAAACUUUUCUAAGUACAGUGUCUGAGUAUUUUUUUGGUAAUCAUGUUAAAUCAGUGUCUGAGUUCUUCAAACCUUCUCAGACUUGUCGUUUGUAAUUAAUCAUUAUCUGGCCGAUUAAAAAUGAUUAACGUAUUUGAUUUCGUGUUUUCCGAAUGCUUUCACACUAACCAAUUACAUUUUCACAAAAUUUACAAAUAGGUUCGUAGAGCAUGCAGCCAUGUGAUGAGCACAAAAGUGAACAAUUCUUUAGCAGUUUACUUAUAUCAACGUAAAUAGCGAAUGUUAUUCCUAAAUUUCCCUGAAAAGAUAAGAAUCUACGACUACAAAGAUACGCCAAUUUAGGAAAGUAUGACAAACCCUUUAAUUUCGUUUUGGAACUAAGUGACCUUAUACCUGCUUAAUAAAAUCUAAUAUUCCAAUCAUCUAAUCACAGUUUGGUGCUUACACUAUUAAAAAUAAACAAAUAUCGGCGAAUACUUUUUCUAUAAAAGGGUGCACACUAUCAUAUACCUACUUACUAAGUCGUUUACACAACCCAAACCCUCAUUCUAAGAGAUGGGGUCUCACACACAAAACCUCUCUUUUCUUAUCCUCCUUCUCCUAGGCUUCCUUGCUGUCUCAUUCGCUUGCGAAUGUAGCCCUCCUAAACCAUCUCCGAGACCCCACAAACCGCCUAAACAUCCCGUCAAACCGCCUAAACCACCAGCAGCCAAACCACCAAAACCACCGGCAGUAAAACCUCCUAAACCCCCCACCAAACCUCCCACCCUUAAACCACACCCCCACCCUAAACCUCCCACCGUUAGACCACAUCCACACCCUAAGCCCCCUACCAAACCUCAUCCCAUCCCAAAACCGCCCACCGUUAAACCACCACCCUCCACACCCAAACCGCCCACAAAACCACCCACCGUUAAACCACCUCCAUCCACCCCUAAGCCGCCCACCAAACCACCCACCGUCAAACCACCACCCUCCACCCCAAAACCGCCCACCAAGCCACCCACCGUCAAACCACCUCCGUCCACCCCUAAACCACCUACCCACAAGCCACCAACAGUGUGCCCACCGCCAACACCAACACCAACCCCACCUGUUGUAACGCCACCAACACCACCAACACCAACUCCACCAGUCGUUACGCCACCAACACCAGCCCCACCUGUUGUAACGCCACCAACACCAACACCACCGGUCGUAACGCCACCGACACCAACCCCUCCUGUCGUAACACCUCCAACACCACCGGUCGUAACGCCACCGACACCAACUCCUCCUGUCGUAACACCACCAACACCACCGGUCGUAACGCCACCGACACCAACCCCUCCUGUCGUAACACCUCCAACACCACCGGUCGUAACGCCACCGACACCAACCCCUCCUGUCGUAACACCACCAACACCAACUCCACCUAAGCCAGAAACGUGCCCAAUCGACACGUUGAAGCUAGGCGCUUGUGUAGACGUUCUUGGAGGUUUAAUUCACAUCGGGCUUGGUGGAAGUAGCGCCAAGAAAGAGUGUUGUCCGGUUUUGGGAGG
RNAcentral lists this long non-coding RNA (85446 nucleotides) under Brassica rapa (field mustard). RNAcentral describes it as "long non-coding RNA (BRAP_LNC003747)". The stretch from base 37848 to 37953 matches the Rfam family "Plant small nucleolar RNA R71". The record is from RNAcentral. Lineage: Eukaryota; Viridiplantae; Streptophyta; Magnoliopsida; Brassicales; Brassicaceae.